Molecule: long non-coding RNA, 48456 nt
Filed under: Triticum aestivum (bread wheat)
Lineage: Eukaryota; Viridiplantae; Streptophyta; Magnoliopsida; Poales; Poaceae
Description: long non-coding RNA (TAES_LNC021986)
Rfam family: MIR1120/MIR1122 microRNA precursor family (bases 29919-30039)
Source: RNAcentral
GAAUUUCAGAGAGAAGUGAAGAUUCAUCGUAACAAGAGAAUAAAAUUUCUAUGACCUGAUCGUGGAGGCGAAUAUUUGAGUUACGAGUUUGACCUUCAUUUAAAACAAUGUGGAAUAGUUUCACAACUCACGCCACCUGGAACACCACAGCGUAAUGGUGUGUUCGAACACCGUAACCAUACUUUAUUAGAUAUGGUGCGAUCUAUGGUGUCUCUUACCGAUUUAACACUAUAGUUUUGGGGUUAUGCAUUAGAGACAGUUGCAUUCACAUUAAAUAGGGCACUGUCUAAAUCCGUUGAGAUGACACCAUAUGAACUAUGCUUUGGCAAUAAAUCUAAGUUGUCGUUUCUUAAAGUUUGGGGUUGCGACACUUAUGUCAAAAGGCUUCAGCCUGAUAAGCUCGAACCCAAAUCAUAGAAGUGCGUCUUCAUAGGAUACCCUAAGGAAACAAUUGGGUGCACCUUCUACCACAGUUUCAAAGGCAAGAUUUUUUUUGCCAAGAAUGGAACCUUUCUAGAGAAGGAGUUUCUCUUGAAAGAAGUGAGUGGGAGGAAAGUAGAAGUUGAUGAGGUAAUUGUACCUUCACUCAAUUUGGAAAGUAGCUCAUUAGAGAACUCUGUUCCAUUGAUGCCUACACCAACUAGAGAGGAAGCUAAUGAUGAUGAUCGUGAAACUUCAGAUCAAGUUACUACCAAACCUCGUAGGUCAACCAGAACACGAUCAACACCAGAGUUGUACGAUAAUCCUGUUCUAGAAGUCAUGUUACUAGACCAUGGUGAACAUAUGAAUUAUGAAGAAGCUAUGAUGAGCCCAGAUUCCGAUAAAUGGCUUGAGGCCAUGAAAUCUGAGAUUGGAUCCAUGUAUGAGAACAAAGUGUGGACUUUGGUGGAUUUGCCCAAUGAUCGGCGAGCCAUAGAACAUAAAUGGAUCUUCAAGAAGAAGACUGAUGCUGAUGGUAAUGUUACUGUCUAUAAAUCUCGACUUGUUGUGAAAGGUUUUCAACAAGUUCAAGGACUUGACUAUGAUGAGACUUUCUCACCCGUAGCGAUGCUUAAGUCUGUCUGAAUCAUGUUAGCAAUUGCCACAUUUUAUUAUUAUGAAAUCUGGCAAAUGGAUGUCAAAACUGCAUUCCUUAAUGGAUUUUUUAAAGAAGAGUUGUAUAUGAUGCAACUAGAAGGUUUUGUCGAUCCUAAAGGUGCUAACAAAGUGUGCAAGCUCCAGCGAUCCAUUUAUGGACUGGUGCAAGCAUCUUGGAGUUGGAAUAUACGCUUUGAUGAGGUGAUCAAAGCAUAUGGUUUUAUACAGACUUUCAGAGAAGCUUGUAUUUAUAAGAAAGUGAGUGGGAGCUCUAUAGCAUUUCUAAUACUAUAUGUGGAUGACAUAUUGUUGAUUGGAAAUGAUGUGGAAUUUCUAGAUAGCAUAAAAGGAUACUUGAAUAAAGUUUUUCAAUGGAACACCUCGGUGAAGCUACUUAUAUAUUGGGCAUCAAGAUCUAUAGAGAUAGAUCACGACGCUUAAUAGGACUUUCACAAAGCACAUACCUUGACAAAGUUCUGAAGAAGUUCAAAAUGGGUCAGUCAAAGAAAGGGUUCUUGCCUGUAUUGCAAGGUGUGAAAUUGAGUCAAACUCAAUGCCCGACCACUGCAGAAGAUAGGGAGAAAAUGAAAGUCAUUCCCUAUGCCUCAGCCAUAGGUUCUAUCAUGUAUGCUAUGCUGUGUACCAGACCUGAUGUGUGCCUUGCCAUAAGUCUGGCAGGGAGGUGCCAAAGUAAUCCAGGAGUGGAUCACUAGACAACGGUCAAGAAUAUCCUAAAGUACCUGAAAAGGACCAAGGAUAUGUUUCUCGUUUAUGGAGGUGACAAAGAGCUUGUCGUAAAUGGUUAUGUCGAUGCUAGUUUUGACACUGAUCCGGAUGACUCUAAGUCACAAACCGGAUAUGUAUUUAUUUUGAAUGGUGGAGCUGCCAGUUGGUGCAGUUCCAAGCAAAGCGUCAUGGCGGGAUCUACGUGUGAAGCAGAGUACACAGCUGCUUCAGAAGCAGAAAAUUAAGGAGUCUGGAUGAAGGAGUUCAUAUCCGAUCUAGGUGUAAUACCUAGUGCAUUGGGUCCAAUGAAAAUCUUUUGUGACAAUACUGGAGCAAUUGCCUUAGCGAAGGAAUCCAGAUUUCACAAAAGAACCAAACACAUCAAGAGAUGCUUCAACUCCAUCCGUGAUCAAGUCAAGGAGGGAGACAAAGAGAUUUGCAAAAUACACACGGAUCUGAAUAUAGCAGACUUAUUGACUAAGCCUCUUCCAUGAGCAAAACAUGAUCAACACCAAGAUUCCAUGGGUGUUAGAAUCAUUACAAUGUAAUCUAGAUUAUUAUCUCUAGUGAAAGUGGGAGACUGAAGGAAAUAUGCCCUAGAGGCAAUAAUAAAGUUGUCAUUUUAUAUUUCCUUAUUUCAUGAUAAAUGUUUAUUAUUCAUGCUAGAAUUGUAUUAACCGGAAACUUGAUACAUGUGUGGAUGCAUAGACAAAAUACCAUGUCCCUAGUAAGCCUCUACUAGACUAGCUCGUUGAUCAAAGAUGGUUAAGUUUCCUAACCAUUGACAUGUGUUGUCAUUUGAUAAACAUGAUUACAUCAUUAGGAGAAUGAUGUGAUGGACAAGACCCAUUCAUUAGCUUAGCAUUAUGAUCGUUCAGUUUUAUUGCUAUUGCUUUCUUCAUGUCAAAUACAUAUUCCUUCGACUAUGAGAUUAUGCAACUCCCGAAUACCAGAGGAAUGCCUUAUGUGCUAUCAAACAUCACAACAUAACUGGGUGAUUAUAAAGACACUCUACAUGUAUCUCCGAAGGUGUUUGUUGGGUUGGCAUAGAUCAAGAUUAGGAUUUCUCACUCCGAUUAUCGGAGAGGUAUCUCUGGGCCCUCUCAGUAAUACACAUCACAAGAAACCUUGCAAGCAAAGUGACUAAUGAGUUAGUUUCAAGAUGAUGUAUUACGGAACAAGUAAAGAGACUUGCCGGUAACGAGAUUGAACUAGGUAUGAAGAUAUCGAUGAUCGAAUCUUGGGCAAGAAACAUACUGGUGACAAAGGGAAUAACGAAUGUUGUCAUAACGGUUCGACCGAUAAAGAUCUUCGUAGAAUAUGUGGGAGCCAAUAUGAGCAUCCAGGUUCCACUAUUUGUUAUUGACCGGAGAGGUGUCUCGGUCAUGUCUACAUAGUUCUCGAACUCGUAGGGUCCGCACGCUUAACGUUUCAUGAAGAUAUUGUAUUAUAUGAGUUAUCUGAUUUUGUGACCGAAUGUUGUUCAGAGUCCCGGAUGAGAUCACAUACAUGAUAUGGAGUCUCCAAAUGGUCGAGAGGUAAAGGUUGAUGUAUAGUACGAUAGUAUUCGGACACCAGAAGUGUUCCGGAAUGUAUCGGGUAUUUAUCAGAGUACCGGGAGGGUUACCGAAACCCCCGGGGGAAAUAUAUGGGCCAUAUGGGCCAUGAGAGGGGAGCACACCAGCCCACAAGGGGUGGUGCGCCCCCCUAUGGCAGGUGGCUGAAUAGGAGAAGGAGAAGAGGCGGUUCGGCGCCCCUUCUGUCAGGACCCCGACUCAAUGCCACAUCGAUCUAGCAUGUAACACCUCAUAUCACUUUGCGGCCUCACGCACGGUGUUCCCACGGGUGUCGCCUUACCUUUGCCCGGGACCGUUUGCACCUUUUGGCACACGUAUAUGACAUUGUCGCUAGCAUCCAUAUGAUAAGGAGCCCGGGCUGACAUGGCUAGUCGUAAACCCAAAGCGGCACAGACUUACAGGGACAGGCAUCCAUGACCCAGCAUCGAACGUGUCGGUCAUCAGCGAGUGAAUCCAGGCUGUAGCACUGGGCUAGCAGGACUCCGGUGAACCGGGCUGUAGCGGGCUAACAGGACUUCGGUAUUCACCGCGUGACAUUUCCCCGAAGGGACAGACACAGGAACGAAGAAGGACACAUGCCGGCCAGCCUAAGUGUUCCGGAGCAGUAGCAAGCUACCAUGGCUCAGUGGAAACACUAGGAGACAUUUCCCGGUAAGAGAGGCUACUAAAGAUAAACAACUAGAUGGUCAGAUCCCACACAUACCAAGCAUUUCAAUAACAUACACACAAUAUGCUCGAUAUGUGCAAUACAACAUGGCAUCACAAAAUGACUCUACGACUCAAGUAGUUUAUUCAAUAGGCUCCGAGGAGCGAGAUAUUACAAACAUGGGUCUCAUGACCCAACACUCAGAGCAUACAAGUCAAAGCACAAGCGGAAGCUAUCAUGUCUGAGUACAGACAACUAUAAAUGAAAAAGGCUGAGAAGCCUGACUAUCUACCAAAUCCUGCCGAGGCACAAGAUCGUAGCUGAGGUAACAAGCUAAACGUCGAAGACCACGCAGAAAUACUAGUGAGACUGAAGUCUCUCUGCAAAAACAUAAAAUAGGCAAACGUGAGUACAAAUGUACCCAGCAAGACUUACAUCAGAACUAUCUACAUAUGCAUCAUUAUCAACAAAGGGAUGGUGGGGUUUAACUGCAGCAAGCCAGCUUUGACUCGGUGGCUAUCCUGAACUACGACUGCGAGUAACUUUUUUUGAGGUGGCGCACACGAGUCCACAUAUUCACCAUAUCAAUACACCACUAUGGAUCCGCUCCCGUCUCCCUACGAGAACGCCAUCCAUAGCACUCACGCUUAUCUUGCGUAUUUUAGAGUAUCCACUUUCACUUGUCUAUGAACUGAUAUAAGCAACCCAGAAGUCCUUUUCCGUGGACAUGGCUAUUCGAAUAGAUUAGGUUAACCCUGCAGGGGUGUACUUCUUCACACACGCUCUCACCACUUACCGCCGUUUACACGACAUGUACUCGGCAACCUUCAAGCGGAAGCCCAACGUGGGUGUCGGCCACGGCCUACCUAAACACUCAAGUCUCUAGUCCAGGUUUAUCGCCUAUUCGGGUUCCAUCCAUGAGGAGAUCCGGUCGGAGUUUCGCUCACAGCCCCAAACGAUGUGAACAGGGUUCCCGAGACACCAAACGGGCGCCCGGUACACCGUGCCACGUGCCUACCGCAUCACAGCCCACCCCUACGGUCAGCGCUGCGCAUGGCCUCCAGCAUACUACAAACACCAAAAACUACUUGCAACUCCUGGACAGAGGACAAGGGUGAUUAAGAAGCCGAGAGGGUCCAUUGGUUUCGGGCCCAAUGCGUGGUAGUAGCUGAAUCAUGGAUCACAAACACAGAACUCAGUUCCUGAGGACGGCUGCAAUGAGACAACCCACCAUGUACUCCUACAUGGCCUCUCACCGCUACCUUUACCAAAACGUGUUCACACACUUAGCUCACACAUAGUAGGACAUGUUCACACGCCUCUGAUUCAUCCCCGAUGAAUCAGACCUGACUCAACUCUAAGCAGUAGCAGGCAUGACAAACAAGCAUGAAUGAGUAGGCACAACAGGGCUCAAACAACUCCUACUCAUGCUAGUGGGUUUCAUCUAUUUACUGUGGCAAUGACAGGUCAUGCAAAGGAUAAAGGGGUUCAGCUAUCGCAGCAAGUAACAGAUGAAUCGGUGUUGUCCUAAUGCAGUAAAAGAGAGCAGGAGCGAGAGAGUAGGAUUGUAUCGGAAUGAACAAGGGGGUUUUGCUUGUCUGGCACUUCUGAAGAUAACAUUGAGUCUUCAUCAGUGUCAGCGAUCACAUCAUCGGGUAUCACGUCUAUCGAGAGGGGACAAAUACCAGCAACACAAAAGGGAACACAAUCAAUGCAAUGCACAAUAUGAUGCAUGAUCAUGACAUGGCAAAAUGAAUGUGUUUGAGCUAAUGCAACUAGCAACAGAUUAAAUGAAGUUGGUUUGAAUACAAGAUUCAAAUUCAAACUCCAUAUGUGAUUAUUCAAAUGCCAUUUACUUCAUUUGCCCUAAACAGUAGUGAUAAGUUGUUCUAACAUGCAUGAAAAUGGUACAUAUGGAUUCCUUGAAUUUUUCUGAUAAUUUUUCAUAUAUAAAUUAUUUAAUUUGGAGUUACGGUUAAUUUUCUAUGAUUUUUAGAAGUUUUAGGCAUUUUCUAGAAUUUCCUGGAUAUUAAUAAAUCCAGUAAUUGAAUUAAUGCGCCAGCCUGACGUCAUCAUGACGUCAGCAGGUCAACUGGGCGCCUCCAGGUCAAACCUGACACUGGGACCCACAUGUCAGUGUGAUUAGCUUAACUAAAAUUAAUUAAAACUAAUCCUAAUAGUCAACAGGGCUGGGCCCCACCUGUCAUUGACUCAGGAGAGUCAACCGGGGCCCACCCGUGGUCAAAGUCAAAGUCGGCUGCCGGCGUUUAGCCGCCGGCGAGCCCGACGCGGCGGCGAGAGUGGUUUUGGCCACUCCGGCGACCAAAUGGGCCGCGGAGGGCAUCUAGGAGGAGCUGGGGACGAGCCGAAGCUCCUGGUGGAGUCAGUUGCGCUCGGGGCGGCCGGAAUCGGUGCCGACGGCGAGCGAGGCGGCGGCCGGAGCUCGGGUGUGCUCGGUUUCGGCGUUACACGGCACGGCGGGCGCGGCCGAUGGGNNNNNNNNNNNNNNNNNNNNNNNNNNNNNNNNNNNNNNNNNNNNNNNNNNNNNNNNNNNNNNNNNNNNNNNNNNNNNNNNNNNNNNNNNNNNNNNNNNNNNNNNNNNNNNNNNNNNNNNNNNNNNNNNNNNNNNNNNNNNNNNNNNNNNNNNNNNNNNNNNNNNNNNNNNNNNNNNNNNNNNNNNNNNNNNNNNNNNNNNNNNNNNNNNNNNNNNNNNNNNNNNNNNNNNNNNNNNNNNNNNNNNNNNNNNNNNNNNNNNNNNNNNNNNNNNNNNNNNNNNNNNNNNNNNNNNNNNNNNNNNNNNNNNNNNNNNNNNNNNNNNNNNNNNNNNNNNNNNNNNNNNNNNNNNNNNNNNNNNNNNNNNNNNNNNNNNNNNNNNNNNNNNNNNNNNNNNNNNNNNNNNNNNNNNNNNNNNNNNNNNNNNNNNNNNNNNNNNNNNNNNNNNNNNNNNNNNNNNNNNNNNNNNNNNNNNNNNNNNNNNNNNNNNNNNNNNNNNNNNNNNNNNNNNNNNNNNNNNNNNNNNNNNNNNNNNNNNNNNNNNNNNNNNNNNNNNNNNNNNNNNNNNNNNNNNNNNNNNNNNNNNNNNNNNNNNNNNNNNNNNNNNNNNNNNNNNNNNNNNNNNNNNNNNNNNNNNNNNNNNNNNNNNNNNNNNNNNNNNNNNNNNNNNNNNNNNNNNNNNNNNNNNNNNNNNNNNNNNNNNNNNNNNNNNNNNNNNNNNNNNNNNNNNNNNNNNNNNNNNNNNNNNNNNNNNNNNNNNNNNNNNNNNNNNNNNNNNNNNNNNNNNNNNNNNNNNNNNNNNNNNNNNNNNNNNNNNNNNNNNNNNNNNNNNNNNNNNNNNNNNNNNNNNNNNNNNNNNNNNNNNNNNNNNNNNNNNNNNNNNNNNNNNNNNNNNNNNNNNNNNNNNNNNNNNNNNNNNNNNNNNNNNNNNNNNNNNNNNNNNNNNNNNNNNNNNNNNNNNNNNNNNNNNNNNNNNNNNNNNNNNNNNNNNNNNNNNNNNNNNNNNNNNNNNNNNNNNNNNNNNNNNNNNNNNNNNNNNNNNNNNNNNNNNNNNNNNNNNNNNNNNNNNNNNNNNNNNNNNNNNNNNNNNNNNNNNNNNNNNNNNNNNNNNNNNNNNNNNNNNNNNNNNNNNNNNNNNNNNNNNNNNNNNNNNNNNNNNNNNNNNNNNNNNNNNNNNNNNNNNNNNNNNNNNNNNNNNNNNNNNNNNNNNNNNNNNNNNNNNNNNNNNNNNNNNNNNNNNNNNNNNNNNNNNNNNNNNNNNNNNNNNNNNNNNNNNNNNNNNNNNNNNNNNNNNNNNNNNNNNNNNNNNNNNNNNNNNNNNNNNNNNNNNNNNNNNNNNNNNNNNNNNNNNNNNNNNNNNNNNNNNNNNNNNNNNNAUUUUAACUUACCCUAGUUGAGUUGAUUUAAUGCUAGGGUUUGAACAUCCCCAUUUCAAUUUUAGGCAAAAUUUAAACAUGAUGCAACACAUGACUAGCUAGCUCAGAGCAUUACCAGAAGCUAGGGAUGUGACAACUCACCCCCACUAAACAAGAAUCUCGUCUCGAGAUUCAAGCGUAGGGUAAGGUGAAAGGUAAGCGCAACUAGUAUAAUCUUCACGAUCCAGGGUGCACUUCAGUUGAACGUUGAUUUGAACACCAUCUUUGUCUUGUCGUCUUGCUCUGAGCACUCCUGUCAACAUGACAUGGAGGGAAGAAGGAGACUCUAGAAGGGUCGAUCUUCUCGAAGAUCGAGCAACUCACGGAAUGAGACAUAACAAUAUCUCUCGAGCUGAGAGACGAAGCACAGAUCUGAAGAAAUGGAGUAAGACAGACGACGAGGGUUCGCUAGGUGGACCACAAUUCCACACCUAAGAAGGUGGUAAACAAUUGUCCACGUAGCGAGGAGUUGAGUUGCCAUGAUACCACGACGAAACAUCCUGAAGGAGGGUGAUUCGUAGAUUAUCCCCUUAAGUGGCAAAAAGAAUUACUUUUGAUUCAGAGAUCACUGAAAUUCUUUAAACCAGCCUAAGGCAAUCACAAGCGAUCAUUUGGAGGGGGUCGGUAGAAUGGCAUACUCGGACUUGGAUGAUGUGGAUUACCUUGUUGAAGACAACGCAAUGGAUGAAUUUGCUUAUCACCGGAAAUGGAAGAGACCCAUGGUAGAAUGACACAUUGGCGGUGCAAGCUGGGAACAAAAUGCAAAUGCUGGGAAUGAUUCUAGUAACUGGGGAGAGGCUCAACAAUAGAGAGUUAUUCCACUAUUGGAAUGGUUAUAGCAUAACCGAGGAAAUCUGGGGCAAUCCCAGCUAGUGCCGAUGAUAAGACGUAGCGCUUGUGCAUGCUCUCAAGAACUUGAGCAUUUCCACAUUCAUCAAGGUUUUACCAAUAUCCGUGUCAAGGAUCCUGGCAACACAACUUGCUACCAUGAUGAAGGAUGAUGGAUGAUGCAGAUGCAAAGGAAAAUAACACCUUCUCAGAUUUCACCCUUGGCGAGGCCAAAGAAAUAAAAUCUGGAUGAUCGACCGAGAGACAUUUAGCACUCCGCUUCUAAUGUUCUCCUUGACGUGCUAGUGUAACCCAUUCAUAGAUAUGGUUUGCUAACUAGAACAUCAAGUAAAGGUCGGACUUCAGGAGCAAUAGAAUCCAUAAGGAACAGUUACGGAGGUAAAUCCUACGAAAUCCUUAUGGGGAGGUGGCCAAUUUCCUCAAUCAAGAUAUUAUAAUAACAGGUCUUCCGGCUGGGUGUGUUGGCCACGACAUCCACUUUACCGGUUAUCGAGGGACCAAUAUUAUAGUUCUUGGAGAAUGUUCCAAUCAUCAUAUCUGCCUGAGAUUCAGAUCUGGUUGGUGUCAGGAUAUUCCAGACUCAUAGAGUCUAGGAAGAAAAAUGAAAGUUUGCAACACAAAUCGACGAGAUGACGUUGCGAGAUUCUCGGAAGAUGAACUACGAUAGCAAGCUCCAAAACAUGAGCUGGUUCUGCUACAAACAUGUGAACACGUUGUCCAAGACAAGCAUGACCACAAAGUAGUCUUAUAAUAAAACACUACCGAGUUCAGGUUGGGAACCAUCAGCGAGGAUAUCGAAGUUCUUUCAUAAGUCCGGAUUAGCUCUUAUGGAGGAACUCCUUCUCCUUGAACAAAUCAAUCAGUGGCUUGGUGUGCUAGGGAUACAUAUAGAUUGAAGGUUGCAAGUCUUCAAACCACAGCAUUCUUCGCACGUGUGCAUGACUGAUUUGGAAUGAUUCCAAAGAAAGCAACAUUGACUUUCUCGAAUCCACGGCGGCAACUUGCAUCAGAUGCACAUGAAUUAAAGGAAGUCACUACCUUCAUCCAAACAUAUGCUUCAUGAGCUAGCAUGAACAAAUGCUUUCAAAAGUUUCCAACACUAGCUUAAUGUUCAGCAAAAUUAUGGAGAAGACAAGGAUGUUGUCAAUGGGCACAACAACAAUUCAUCUGGGUUUCCUUUUAAAAGGAAUUCCAUAGUUAAAUGAACAAGUGAUAGCAUUGGUCAGACCUAAAGAUAUAAUGGUGUAUGCUCGAGGGAUCAACCACGAAUAAGACAACAUUACGAGCAUCGUUGGUACUGAUUUGAUUUGACGAUAGCCCACACUCAAAUCAAAGGAUUGAUAAGACAAUAGGUCCAGCAACUGAUCAUAGGGACCAAUCGAUGAAGAUAUCAUCUUUCUUCAACACUCACUACACAAGAUUAUCCCUUUGAAAUGAACUAAGUCAGGCAAGCUUUUAUCCUCCAACUCUCCAAGUUGUUGUCUAGCUUAACCAACUAGCUCAGGGAUAUCUAACACCGAUUCUUGGGGAGAAGGUGGUUCACAAGAAACCAACUUGAUCACGAACUCAACAUAGCGGUCAGGUGACAACCCGGUAACACCUCCAAGAAGAUAUUUGGAAAGUCACGAACCACCGGUAUGUUGCUAAGCUCGGGAACAAUCUUGCUUUUGAGGGCAAGACGAUAUGAUCAAAUGAGUGAGGACUUGACAAGAUCCUAACUCAUCAAUCGAAGGGUGCACCGAAAUAAGGACUAGGUAGCACGAUCAGUCUUAGAAGGAUGAUUCGAAAACCAACAUACUAAGAAUGAAAUUAUUGUCCUUUAACUACCAAGCAACAAGGUUGCUAGGAGUAUUGAAUUCACACAUCACGAUUCACUUGUCGGCAUUCCGGUUGCGACAACACGGAAUCGAGGGAUGAAUAAUAAUGGCGAGAAGUAUCACUACAUCAAGAAUUCACAAGAGCCGGUGCAAUUCUCAUGAAAAUCCUGACAUAAAGACGGUAAUACUUCAGGGUAGAACAGAAUCAAAAGCUGGAUUGGCAUUUGAUCUGCGGAAUACAACUACUUUAACCCAAUCCUAGAUAUGGAAGAGGUACUGGAGUUUGUUUCUCCUAGUCAUUCCGGAAUAGAAUGGCUUGACAGACCACAAGAGUCAUAGGCAUCGAUGAACGAACACACGCAUACUCUUGACUAUCAAUUGAUAGACGAGGGUCAGAAUGCAACUAAAGAGAACAACUCAAAGGAACAUAUAACUUUCUGAGUUGUGGAUGCAUAGAUUAGUAUGUCGAACCAAGUUCAACAUAUUUCUUUCGGAUAACCCAUGCAGAAAGGUAGAACUGGCAGAGUCACGAUUUAUGAAUGGAGAACUCCUCAGGAGUACUCUAAUUGUAAUUUUUUUUGAUCCAAUAAACAUCUGCCAUAAGUAGUUCAUGGUAUUUGGAAGAAGAAGAUACCACGGACUUCAAGGACUAUCGCAAAGGUUACUAAUAUCCUAAAGGCACUAGCAAUUACUAUCAACAUGAAGUAGGUAGAGUGAAUCUCGGGUUCAGAACCCAGGAGUAGAAUACCUACUACUAAGUAGCAUCACGGGAUGCUUCCGAGAAUAAAGGCCAGAAUCUUCACACUAGGACACAAAUCAUGGCUAGACCACCAGAUGAUCCCCUAAGCACUUAGGGUCAUAAUAAUAAUUCCAACAUAUAUAUCGAGGCAAUAAUUACCUCAACACACCGAUUAGUGUGGUUAAUCUGGCCCAUGGGAACAUCGGAAACAGAAGGAAGGGAUUUGCAAAUGCAUCGGACUAUUUAGAAACCUGGGAUGACUCGGACAGCAUAACGGCUAUAAUUGCUCAAAAAGAUUUGAGACAAUCACAAAAAUGGUGGCAUAACCACUCAGAAGCACAAUAUCAAGGUUCCGAGAUCAACAAUUAACAUACGGAAGUAGUAGGAACUGAACUGAGACUUAAUUCCAACAAUCUUAUAAGUCUACUAAUUAGUAACACGUGAUCCUAAUAGAAAGAAGAGAAAGCCUAGUUUCUUAACCCCGUAGGAAAGAUAAGAUGACUCAGAUCAGAAGGCCAUGAGGUAUAAGGAGUAAAAAGAGCCUUACGUUCCAUCCCACAAUCAAUUCCCUUAUAUAACUAAAGGAUUUCUAGACUCAACUUCGACCAGUUUGGCUUGGUAAUCCUACAGGCAGUCAAGCUCUGAUACCAACGCUGUCAGGACCCCGACUCAAUGCCACAUCGAUCUAGCAUGUAACACCUCAUAUCACUUUGCGGCCUCACGCACGGUAUUCCCACGGGUGUCGCCUUACCUUUGCCCGGGACCGUUUGCACCUUUUGGCACACGUAUAUGACAGUGUCGCUAGCAUCCAUAUGAUAAGGAGCCCGGGCUGACAUGGCUAGUCGUAAACCCAAAGCGGCACAGACUUACAGGGAUAGGCAUCCAUGACCCAGCAUCGAACGUGUCGGUCAUCAGCGAGUGAAUCCAGGCUGUAGCACUGGGCUAGCAGGACUCCGGUGAACCGGGCUGUAGCGGGCUAACAGGACUCCGGUAUUCACCGCGUGACAUUUCCCCGAAGGGACAGACACAGGAACGAAGAAGGACACAUGCCGGCCAGCCUAAGUGUUCCGGAGCAGUAGCAAGCUACCAUGGCUCAGUGGAAACACUAGGAGACAUUUCCCGGUAAGAGAGGCUACUAAAGAUAAACAACUAGAUGGUCAGAUCCCACACAUACCAAGCAUUUCAAUAACAUACACACAAUAUGCUCGAUAUGUGCAAUACAACAUGGCAUCACAAAAUGACUCUACGACUCAAGUAGUUUAUUCAAUAGGCUCCGAGGAGCGAGAUAUUACAAACAUGGGUCUCAUGACCCAACACUCAGAGCAUACAAGUCAAAGCACAAGCGGAAGCUAUCAUGUCUGAGUACAGACAACUAUAAAUGAAAAAGGCUGAGAAGCCUGACUAUCUACCAAAUCCUGCCGAGGCACAAGAUCGUAGCUGAGGUAACAAGCUAAACGUCGAAGACCACGCGGAAAUACUAGUGAGACUGAAGUCUCUCUGCAAAAACAUAAAAUAGGCAAACGUGAGUACAAAUGUACCCAGCAAGACUUACAUCAGAACUAUCUACAUAUGCAUCAUUAUCAAGAAAGGGAUGGUGGGGUUUAACUGCAGCAAGCCAGCUUUGACUCGGUGGCUAUCCUGAACUACGACUGCGAGUAACUUUUUUUGAGGUGGCGCACACGAGUCCACAUAUUCACCAUAUCAAUACACCACUAUGGAUCCGCUCCCGUCUCCCUACGAGAACGCCAUCCAUAGCACUCACGCUUAUCUUGCGUAUUUUAGAGUAUCCACUUUCACUUGUCUAUGAACUGAUAUAAGCAACCCAGAAGUCCUUUUCCGUGGACACGGCUAUUCGAAUAGAUUAGGUUAACCCUGCAGGGGUGUACUUCUUCACACACGCUCUCACCACUUACCGCCGUUUACACGACAUGUACUCGGCAACCUUCAAGCGGAAGCCCAACGUGGGUGUCGGCCACGGCUUACCUAAACACUCAAGUCUCUAGUCCAGGUUUAUCGCCUAUUCGGGUUCCAUCCAUGAGGAGAUCCGGCCGGAGUUUCGCUCACAGCCCCAAACGAUGUGAACAGGGUUCCCGAGACACCAAACGGGUGCCCGGUACACCGUGCCACGUGCCUACCGCAUCACAGCCCACCCCUACGGUCAGCGCUGCGCACGGCCUCCAGCAUACUACAAACACCAGAAACUACUUGCAACUCCUGGACAGAGGACAAGGGUGAUUAAGAAGCCGAGAGGGUCCAUUGGUUUCGGGCCCAAUGCGUGGUAGUAGCUGAAUCAUGGAUCACAAACACAGAACUCAGUUCCUGAGGACGGCUGCAAUGAGACAACCCACCAUGUACUCCUACAUGGCCUCUCACCGCUACCUUUACCAAAACGUGUUCACACACUUAGCUCACACAUAGUAGGACAUGUUCACACGCCUCUGAUUCAUCCCCGAUGAAUCAGACCUGACUCAACUCUAAGCAGUAGCAGGCAUGACAAACAAGCAUGAAUGAGUAGGCACAGCAGGGCUCAAACAACUCCUACUCAUGCUAGUGGGUUUCAUCUAUUUACUGUGGCAAUGACAGGUCAUGCAAAGGAUAAAGGGGUUCAGCUAUCGCAGCAAGUAACAGAUGAAUCGGUGUUGUCCUAAUGCAGUAAAAGAGAGCAGGAGCGAGAGAGUAGGAUUGUAUCGGAAUGAACAAGGGGGUUUUGCUUGCCUGGCACUUCUGAAGAUAACAUUGAGUCUUCAUCAGUGUCAGCGAUCACAUCAUCGGGUAUCACGUCUAUCGAGAGGGGACAAAUACCGGCAACACAAAAGGGAACACAAUCAAUGCAAUGCACAAUAUGAUGCAUGAUCAUGACAUGGCAAAAUGAAUGUGUUUGAGCUAAUGCAACUAGCAACAGAUUAAAUGAAGUUGGUUUGAAUACAAGAUUCAAAUUCAAACUCCAUAUGUGAUUAUUCAAAUGCCAUUUACUUCAUUUGCCCUAAACAGUAGUGAUAAGUUGUUCUAACAUGCAUGAAAAUGGUACAGAUGGAUUCCUUGAAUUUUUCUGAUAAUUUUUCAUAUAUAAAUUAUUUAAUUUGGAGUUACGGUUAAUUUUCUAUGAUUUUUAGAAGUUUUAGGCAUUUUCUGGAAUUUCCUGGAUAUUAAUAAAUCCAGUAAUUGAAUUAAUGCGCCAGCCUGACGUCAUCAUGACGUCAGCAGGUCAACUGGGCGCCUCCAGGUCAAACCUGACACUGGGACCCACAUGUCAGUGUGAUUAGCUUAACUAAAAUUAAUUAAAACUAAUCCUAAUAGUCAACAGGGCUGGGCCCCACCUGUCAUUGACUCAGGAGAGUCAACCGGGGCCCACCCGUGGUCAAAGUCAAAGUCGGCUGCCGGCGUUUAGCCGCCGGCGAGCCCGACGCGGCGGCGAGAGUGGUUUUGGCCACUCCGGCGACCAAAUGGGCCGCGGAGGGCAUCUAGGAGGAGCUGGGGACGAGCCGAAGCUCCUGGUGGAGUCAGUUGCGCUCGGGGCGGCCGGAAUCGGUGCCGACGGCGAGCGAGGCGGCGGCCGGAGCUCGGGUGUGCUCGGUUUCGGCGUUACACGGCACGGCGGGCGCGGCCGAUGGGCUCUACGGGAUGCUGGGGUCACCAGGAAUACCCGGAGGCAACGAGCGCAGGCGGAGAAGCUCGGGAGCACGGAGCUCACCGGCCAUGGCGGACGGCGGCUUCGGGUGCUCGUGGGGCGGCGGCUACAGGGCGCAAUCGAAGGGGAAAAGAGGGAGGGGAGGCGUAGGAGCUCACAGCAGUGCCGUAGGGAUGGUUGGCCGGCUCGGGGGCGCGCCGGAGUGGCCGAAUCGACGGAGAAGCUCCUCGGCGGCCGGCGAGGGGAAAACGUCGGGGGUGGCGUUUCCGGGGCUCUUCUGGUCGCGUGACACGACGAGGAGGUCGAGGGAGGACCGGCGGAGCUUCCUGGGGCGUCGGCGAGGCUAGGGGUGGCCGGUGGCCAUGGGUACGACGACGAUGGCGGCGAGCUCCGCUCGGUGGUGUGCGCGAGAGGGAAACAGAGGAGGGAAUGGGGUCCAGGGGGAGAGAGGGGAGGUGCAGGGGGCGAGGGCGUCUCCGUGGCGUCGCGAGGGGGUCGGGGAGGAAGCAGGAGGUGGCUAGGGGGGGGAAGCAGGAGGUGGCCGAGGCAGCAUCGGCGAGCGCCACGCCUCGCCUCUGCUCGUCCUCCUGGCAGAGGAGGAAGAGGACAAAGGAGGAGGAGGUGGGCUGGGCCGGCUGGGGGGGAACUGGGCCGGCUGGUGGGCUGCACGGGUGAGGCCAGGUAUGUCCUUCUCUCUCUCUCUUUUAUUUUUUUCUGUUUCUGCAAUUUGUUUUUGAUUUGUUUUAAAUAUCAAAUCAUUUUAUAAAAUCCUGGAAAUAAAUAUGGGUGCUUUCUGAAUUAUUCCAGUGACCCUUAUCAAUUUCCAACAUUUAUUUGAGCAUUUAAAAUAUUUAUAGUAUUUAAAUGCCCAAAGUCAAAUACAAUAUGAUUUAAUUCAAAAAUCCAAAAAUGACCUAAGGAUAUAUUCAUCAUUUUUGGCAGAGGUUUCCACCUUAACCAGAAAUCAUGAACUUUUCUUAGGGGCCUUUUGGGUUUAUUGAAAAGAUUUUAACUUACCCUAGUUGAGUUGAUUUAAUGCUAGGGUUUGAACAUCCCCAUUUCAAUUUUAGGCAAAAUUUAAACAUGAUGCAACACAUGACUAGCUAGCUCAGAGCAUUACCAGAAGCUAGGGAUGUGACACCUUCCUUCUCUUCCCCCCUUCCUUUCUUCUCCAAUGGAAAAAGGAAAGGGGGGCGCCACUUGGGGAAACCCCAAGUAGGAUUCGGAUCCUACUUGGGGCGCCCCCUGGCUGCCUCUCCUCCCCGCCCACCUAUAUAUAUGUGGGAAGGGGGGCUCCCACCUAUAGCCAUGUGCGGCACCCCCCUCCACAGUUUACACUCCCCGGUUAUAUUCUCGUGGUGCUUAGGCGAAGCCCUGCGCAGAUCACUUCAGCAUCACCGUCACCAUGUCGUCGUGCUGACGAAACUCAUCUACUACCACGACACCUUGCUGGAUCAAGAAGGUGAGGGACGUCACCAAGUUGAACGUGUGCAGAACUCAGAGGUGCCGGAGCUAGAAGAAGUUUGACUACAUCAACCGCGUUGUCAAACACUUCCGCUUAUGGUCUACGAGGGUACGUAGACACACUCUCUCCCCCUCGUUGCUAUGCAUCUCCUAGAUAGAUCUUGCGUGAGCGUAGGAAUUUUUUUGAAAUUGUAGAAGGGAAUAUCAAACGGAGUCCAAACGGAAUAAAACUUUACGAUGCUUUUUCUUGGACCAGAAGACACACCCAGGAGACUUGGGGAGAGGGCCAGUGGAGUCCUGAGGAGGCCACAAGCCUCUUGGGAGCACUCGAGGGGGCGCGCCCCUGGCUUGUGGGCCCCUUGAGGGUUCCCUAACCCUAGUUCCAGCUCUAUAUAUUCUCAAAUAUUCCCCGAACAUUAGAAGCAUCCACAGAAAUAGUUUUCCGUUCCCGAAAGCUUCUGUUUUCGUGAGAUCCCAUCUUGGUGCCUUUUCCGGCAAUCUGCCGGAGGGGGAUUCGCUCAUGGAGGGCUUCUACAUCAACCUUGCUGCCCUACCGAUGAUGUGUGAGUAGUUUACCACAGACCUACGCGUCCAUAGCUAGUAGUUAGAUGGCUUCUUAUCUCUCUUUUAUCUUCAAUACCAUCUUCUCCUCGAUGUUCUUGGAGUUCUAUCCGAUGUAAUCUUCUUUUGCGGUGUGUUCCUUGAGAUCCGAUGAAUUGUGGGUUCAUGAUCAGAUUAUCUAUGAAUAUUAUUUGAGUCUCCUUUGAACUCUUUUAUGAAUGAUGUAAAUAGCUUUGUACUUCUCUCUGAUCUACUGAUUUGGUUUGGCCAACUAGAUUGAUCUAUCUUGCCAUGGGAGAGGUGCUUUGUAAUGGGUUCAAUCUUGCGGUGUCCUCACCUAGUGACAUAGUAGGGGUAGCGAGGCACGUAUUGUAUUGUUGGCAUUAAGGAUAAAAAGAUGGGGUUUAUAUCAUAUUGCUCGAGUUUAUCCCUCUACAUCAUGUCAUCUUGCUUAAGGCGUUACUCUGUUCUUAUGAACUUAAUACUCUAGAUGCAUGUUGGAUAGCAGUCGAUGUGUGGAGUAAUAGUAGUAGAUGCAUGCAGGAGUCAGUCUACUUGUCACGGAUGUGAUGCCUAUAUUCAUGAUCAUUGCCUUAGAUAUCGUCAUAACUUUGCGCUUUUCUAUCAAUUGCUCAACAUUAAUUUGUUCACCCACCAUAUGCUUUAUUCAAGAAAGAAGCCUCUAGUGAAACCUAUGCCCCCCGGGUCUAUUUUCCAUCAUAUAUUUUCAGAUCUAUAAACCAAAAAACCUUGCUGUAAUUUAUUUAUAUUUACUUUAAUCUGCUAUUUUAUUUAUCUUUUAUACCUAUCUCUAUUAGAUCUCACUCUUGUUCGUGACCGUGAAGGGAUUGUCAACCCCUUUUCGCAUUGUGUGCAAGUGUUUGUUAGUUUGUGCAGGUGCAUAUAUUGGAGACUUGCUUGUGCCUCCUACUGGAUUGAUACCUUGGUUCUUUUUUUUGAAACCUUGGAACAGUGGGAGAGGCUCCCACUGUUGUAUAUAUUACCCUCAACAAGUUACAAUUACAUAGAGUUAUUUACAACCCAUCCCACUCUGUGGGUUGGGGGGCAGGGAAUGCAGAGAAAGUUUAAAGGACUAUCACUAGCGUGAAAGAGAAAGCUAAGAUUGCUAGAAUGAAAAUUCAAAAUUGGCAACGAAGAGAUGAAGGAGAAGAUGAAGUCUUUGUGCUUCUCCUUGACUCUAUAUUGUAGCAGAGACAUGUCUUCUUUAAUUUGUUCAACAACGAACGGACUGAAGGCUGUAUCCCUCUGAAGUAUUUAUUAUUUCUCUCCUUACAGAUACUCCAUGCAGCCAGUAAGAAUAUUGACAUGAACAGGGGACACCUCCAGUUUGAUUUUGCCUGCUCAAUCAUAUCCAAAUGUGAGAUGUGAUGAUUUUACCAGCGGAUCUCGAGGAUUUCCCAAUAGCGCAUACUAAAUUGGCAUGUGAAAAUCAUGUGUGUUAUGUGCUACCUCUUGAGCACUGCGUUGGUUUUCCCUUGAAGAGGAAAGGGUGACGCAGCAAAGUAGCAUAAGUAUUUCCCUCAGUUUUGAGAACCAAGGUAUCAAUCCAGUAGGAGGCUACACGCAAAUCCUUGUACCUACACAAACAAAUAAGAACCUUGCAACCAACGCGAUAAAGGGGUUGUCAAUCCCUUCACAACCACUUGCAAAAGUGAGAUCUAAUAGAGAUAAUAAUGAGAUAAAUAUUUUUGGUAUUUUUAUGAUAUAGAUUGGAAAGUAAAGAUUGCAAAAUAAAAUAAAUCAGAAACUUAUAUGAUAGAAAAUAGACCCGGGGGCCAUAGGUUUCACUAGUGGCUUCUCUCAGGAUAGCAUAAGUAUUACGGUGGGUGAACAAAUUACUAUCAAGCAAUUGAUAGAAAAGUGCAUAGUUAUGAGAAUAUCUACGCAUGAUCAUGUAUAUAGGCAUCACGUCCGCGACAAGUAGAUCGAAACGAUUCUGCAUCUACUACUAGUACUCCACACAUCGACCGCUAUAUAGCAUGCAUCUAGAGUAUUAAGUUCAUAAGAACAGAGUAACGCAUUAGGCAAGAUGACAUGAUGUAGAGGGAUAAACUCAAGCAAUAUGAUAUAAACCCCAUCUUUUUAUCCUUGAUGGCAACAAUACAAUACGUGCCUUCCUGCCCCUGCUGUCAACUUGGAAAGGACACCGCAAGAUUGAACCCAAAGCUAAGCACUUCUCCCAUUGCAAGAAAGAUCAACCUAGUAGGCCAAACCAAACUGAUAAUUUGAAGAGACUUGCAAAGAUAACCAAUCAUACAUAAUAGAAUUUAGAGGAGAUUCAAAUAUUUCUCAUAGAUAAACUUCAUCACAAACCCACAAUUCAUCGGAUCUCGACAAACACACUGCAAAAAGAGUUACAUCAAAUAGAUCUCCAAGAAGAUCGAGGAGAACUUUGUAUUGAGAUUCAAAGAGAGAGAAGAAGCCAUCUAGCUAAUAACUAUGGACCCGAAGGUCUGUGGUAAACUACUCACACUUCAUCGGAGAGGCUAUGGUGUUGAUGUAGAAGCCCUUUGUGAUUGAUUCCCCCUCCGGCGGAGCACCGGAAAAGGCCCCAAGAUGGGAUCUCACGGCUACAGAAGGUUGCGGUGGUGGAAAUAGGGUUUCAUGGUGCUCCUGGAUGUUUUCAGGGAAUGUGGAUAUAUAUAGGCAAUGGAAGUCAGUCAGGGGAGCCACGAGGGGCCCACGAGGGUGGGGGCGCGCCUCCCUGCCUCGUGGCUUCCUUGUUUGCUUCUUGACGUCCACUCCAAGUCCCAUGGAUUGCGUUUGUUCCAAAAAUAACUCUCCCAAAGGUUUCUUUCUAUUUGGACUCCGUUUGAUAUUCCUUUUCUGCGGAACACUGAAAUAGGCAAGAAAACAACAAUUUGGGCUGGGCCUCCAGUUAAUAGGUUAGUCCCAAAAUAAUAUAAAAGUGCUUAGUAAAGCCCAUUAAACAUCCAAAACAGGUAAUAUAAUAGCAUGGAACAAUCAAAAAUUAUAGAUACGUAGGAGACGUAUCAAGCAUCCACAACCUUAAUUCAUGCUCGUCCUCGAGUAGGUAAAUGAUAAAAACAGAAUUUUUGAUGUGGAAUACUACCUAGCAUAUUUCUCAAUGUAAUUUCUUUAUUGUGGCAUGAAUGUUCAGAUCCAAAUGAUUCAAGAUAAAGGUUCAUAUUAACAUAAAAACAGUAAUACUUCAAGCAUACUAACAAAGUAAUCAUGUCUUAUCAAAAUAACAUAGCCAAAGAAAUCUUAUCCCUACAAAAUCAUAUAGUUAGGCUAUGCUUGAUUUUCGUCACACAAAAUACUCCCAUCAUGCACAAUCCCAGUUUUCAGCCAAGCAAUUGGUUCAUACUUUUUAAUGCGCUUCAGCUUUUUCAACCCUCACGCAAUACAUGAGCGUAAGCCAUGGAUAUAACACUAUGGGUGGAAUAGAAUAUGAUGAUGGAGGUUGUGUGGAGAAGACAAAAGGGAGAAAGUCUCACAUUGACGUGGCUAAUCAACGGGCUAUGGAGAUUCCCAUCAAUUGAUGUCAAUGCGAGGAGUAGGGAUUGCCAUGCAACGGAUGCACUAGAGCUAUAAAUGUAUGAAAGCUCAACGAAAGAAACUAAGUGGGUGUGCAUCCAACUUGCUUGCUCACAAAGACCUAGGGCAUUUUGAGGAAUCCCAUCAUUACAAUAUACAAGCCAAGUUCUAUAAUGAAAAAAUUCCCACUAGUAUAUGAAAGUGACAACAUAGGAGACUCUCUAUCAUGAAGAUCAUGGUACUACUUUGAAGCACAAGUGUGGAAAAAGGAUAGUAAAAUUGUCCCUUCUCUCUUUUUCUCUCAUUUUUUCUUUCUUUUUUUAUUUUGGUGGGCUUCUUUGGCCUCUUUUUUUAUUUGGGCUUCUUUGGCCUCUUUUAUUUCUCAUAAAGUCCGGAGUCUCAUCCCGACUUGUGGGGGAAUCCUAGUCUCCAUCAUCCUUUCCUCACUUGGGACAAUGUUCUAAUAAUGAAGAUCAUCACACUUUUAUUUACUUACAACUCAAGAAUUACAACUCAAUACUUUAGAACAAAAUAUGACUCUAUGUGAAUGCCUCCGGCGGUGUACAGGGAUAUGCAAUGAAUCAAGAGUGACAUGUAUGAAAGAAUUACAAAGGUGGCUUUGCCACAAAUACGAUGUCAACUACAUGAUCAUGCAAAAGCAAUAUGACAAUUAUGGAGCGUGUCAUAACACUACAAAAAAAGACACAUCCGUGACAUUUUGGGCCGAACAGAAUUUUUUUCUGUCAUACAUAUGACACUUCUAUGACGAUAAUUAUGACAAAACCGGGUAUCAUCAUAGAUGUGGUGGGCUCCUACUUCUAUGACAAAAAAUCAUGACAGAAAAUGGGCUUUUCAUCCUGUGCGGGCUGGAGACGCAGCUGCAUGACAUUCUUUGGGCCGUCCAUGACAGAAAAAACCGUGGUAGAAGCGAGGGGGAGGAAAAUUUCGGGGAGUUCCCGGUUACGGUGGGAGGUCGGGGGCCGACCGAUGCGUGUUUCUCUCGUACACGUCGCGUGUGUGUGCGAGGUGUUGGCUCUAACUGAACCCGAGCAAUGCGUUGGGCUCUAACUGAACCCGAGUGAUUGCACUGCAGGCUACGCGUUACUGAACCCGAGCAAUCGAUCGAUGGCUGUUAACUGAACCCGAUCGAGCGAUUCCUUCGCUACUGCUGCUAACUAAAGUCGAUCGAUUGGAUGAACAGUGNNNNNNNNNNNNNNNNNNNNNNNNNNNNNNNNNNNNNNNNNNNNNNNNNNNNNNNNNNNNNNNNNNNNNNNNNNNNNNNNNNNNNNNNNNNNNNNNNNNNNNNNNNNNNNNNNNNNNNNNNNNNNNNNNNNNNNNNNNNNNNNNNNNNNNNNNNNNNNNNNNNNNNNNNNNNNNNNNNNNNNNNNNNNNNNNNNNNNNNNNNNNNNNNNNNNNNNNNNNNNNNNNNNNNNNNNNNNNNNNNNNNNNNNNNNNNNNNNNNNNNNNNNNNNNNNNNNNNNNNNNNNNNNNNNNNNNNNNNNNNNNNNNNNNNNNNNNNNNNNNNNNNNNNNNNNNNNNNNNNNNNNNNNNNNNNNNNNNNNNNNNNNNNNNNNNNNNNNNNNNNNNNNNNNNNNNNNNNNNNNNNNNNNNNNNNNNNNNNNNNNNNNNNNNNNNNNNNNNNNNNNNNNNNNNNNNNNNNNNNNNNNNNNNNNNNNNNNNNNNNNNNNNNNNNNNNNNNNNNNNNNNNNNNNNNNNNNCCGUAUGAGGUCCGUUUCGUCCGUUUUGUGGUACGCCACACCCCUCCCGAUCAACAGGACCCCCGUUUCGACCGUAGCGCUCCAACACAAGUCCGUUUCGUCCGUUUUGCGGUACGCCAUGCCCCUCCCGAUCAACAGGACCCCCAUUUUGACCGUAGGAGGUCCGUUUCCUCCAUUUUGCGAUACGCCAGACCCCUCCCGAUGAACAGGAUCCCGUUUCGAACGUGGCCGGUCGAACACAAGGCCGUUUCUUCCGUUUUGCGGUACGCCAGGCCUUGUUUCCAUCGCCUGUUCCGUCCAAGCCCUCCCGAUGAACUCGCCCACGCGUUCCCUUCCGACCUAGCCGGUUGGCUCCCACGCGUUCCGUUGCCUCCUGAUGAACACGACCCAUUCCGUUGCCUCCCCAUGAACACGACGCAUUUCAUUGCCUCCCCAUGAACAUGACGCAUUCCGUUGCCUCCCCAUGAACACGACGACGAUGUUGUUUCUCCGUUCCGACCCAGCCAUUUAUACGAGCCUUGGCCGUACGUAUGCACGAGUAGGCGUUCGAGACCCCGCCCGUAUGUACGUACGUGGCCUAUUUUCUUUCUUGCACCCUGGCCAUUGUACGUACGUGUACAUGCUACAUGCGCGCCUCUACUAUGACACGUGCGCACCUCUACUACGACAUGUGCGCGCCUCUACAUCGACCACCAUGUACGUACACGUUCGCGACCAGAAUGACAACGCUACGUACACUUCGACCAGGUGGGUCCCAACUGUCAGGCACUUCCUUGCCUGCGAAGAUGUAGCUGGUGGGUCCCAGCAGUCAGGGGGGUGAAUCGUUUUCUUUUUUUUUGCCCGGGCGCACUUCCUUGCGUGCGAAGAUGUAGCUGGUGGGCCCCAACAGUCAGGGGGAAACAUUUUUUUCAUGAAAUACGGUGGCCCGUCUGAUGGGUCCCCGCUAUCAGGUGGAGGAAUAAAUAUUUUCCGCGUAAUAAGGAGGCACUUCCUUGCUGCGCCCGUGGACCCAGCUGUCAUCCUCUCCACGUACAGUCCACGUUCGAUGGAAGCCGUUCCUUGACCAUGUUGACCACACCGCGCCGAGAGCACCAGUGCGGUGGACAACGGCGAGGCCUAGGAAGGGGACGACGCAGAGCCGGGGAAGACGCGGCAGUGGAUGGCCACGCGUAGAGGAGUAUGAGGGUUCACUCGUUCGGGUGCAGUGUGAGGCUGCCGUCGUCGCAGAAUAACAGGGGGUGUGGGUGCGUAGAGGGAUGGCCUGGCCAGCGGUGGGAGUAGUAGGGGGCGGUGAGGCCUCCGCGGCAUCACAGCCGGCCACGGGCGGCAGGAGCAGGUGACACGACUGGCGCUGCUUUGGUGGCUGGAGCAAGAAGACCAGAGAUUGAAGAAGCACUACGGCCGUUGGAUGGACAUCGUACGGUCACUUGAGCUAGAAUCAUUCAUAUAUUGACUAAAGUUGACAAAGGCCUCCAUCCCAGUCAACUUAGUAGGCCCACAAGUCAGUCUCCCACCAAGGUGGGUCCUAGCUAGCAGGGGGUAUUCAUUUUUUUGUGCGUAAUAAUGAGGCACUUCCGAUGGGUCCGAGCUGAUAGCGGGGGAAUGUUAUUUUCGCGAAAUACGGUGGCCCGUCAUGUGGGUCCCAGCAGUCAGGGGGAAAGGUUUUUUUCGUGAAAUACUGGUGGCCCGUCCGGUGGGUCCCUGCUGUUAGGUGGAGGAAUAAUUAUUUUCCGCGUAAUAAGGAGGCACUUUCUUGCGGCUGCAGUGGACCCAGCUGUCAGCCUCUCCAUGUAUAGUACUCUUCCGAUAGAAUUCGAUCGUUGACCACAUUGACCAUGCCACGCCGAGAGCACCAUGGAGGUGGACGACAGCGAGGCCUAGGAAGGGGACAACGCGGAGCUGGGGAAGACGCAACAGUGGAAGCCCGCGCGGAGAGGAGUACGAGGGUUCACCGGCUUGGCUAUGGUGUGGGGCUGCUGUCGCCGCAGAAUAACAGGGAGUGUGGGUGAGUAGAAGGAUGCCCUGGCCUGCGGUGGGAGUAGUAGGGGGCGCUGAGGCCUGCGCAGCAGCACAGCCAGCCAUGGGAGGCGGGAGCAGGCGGUCCCGCCGGCGCUGCUUUGGCGGCUGGAGCAAAAAGAUCAGAGAUUGAAGAAACACGACGACCGUUGGAUUGACAUCCAACGGUUACCUCUUCUAUAAUCGUUUGUUGACGUAUAUAAUAACUAAAAAAAUCUUGCAUACGCGUCAACUAAACAGGCCCACAAGUCAGACCACUCCCUCUUUUUUUUUAAGAAUUUAUAUAUAGCUCAUGGCAACUUCUUAUGGAAUUUAUUACAGUCGUUUUUUUGGUUGGCCAGGGCCAAUUUCGCAUAUUUCUGUGGGUUCCAAACUAUUUUUAAUACCGAAAUUUCGAGCCAGAUUUAAAGUACUUUGAAGAUGUAUUUAAAUUAGGUUAAUGCCCAGUGAAAUAGGAAUCUGAAAAUGUGAAAAAAUUCAGAAAUUAUAAAGUAAUUGCCAAUUUGUCAUCUGUUUUUAUAUUUACAACCCAUUUCAUAUUACUUUCAAGAUUUGUAGGCGUCUUGAAAGAGUUACAGCCCAUCAGGGCGUAGAAAAAUAAGUAGGCCUAGAUUGGGUAUUCUUCAGAAAAAAUAAACUGGGCUCAUUUUCACAAAGAAAAAAGAGCUGGGCUGGUCACAUGGUGAACAUAAAAUAUAAGCCUGGGCUAGACGGGCCACAGCCCAGUUCAAACCCUGCUCCGUCUCAACAAUACCAAACAAAAAAAAUACUGCUCGAGUAGCUACGUCCCAGGUGUCAGCCGAUCUUGUGCUGUUCUCUUGUCUAUUGACUAUAUACGCUCACAAUGUCGUGGGUCUGAGAUGUCAGGAAAACACUAGGAGGAAGCAUUUUAUUUUUCCAUACGCUGACAUGGUGGGCCCCUACUGCCAUCCUCUCCACGUACUUCUGCCGAUUCCUGUUGUUUGUUGACCAUGUUGACAACGCGAGAGGGAGGCGCCGCGGCGAGCGCACCAAAGCGCGUAAAGGACGUCAGUGUUAACAAUUUAGGAGACGGUGGGGCGGCGAUGCGUGCGCUGAGGCACAGCCAGCUGUGGCAGGCGGAAGCAGGCGGCCCCGCCGGCGUUGGUUUGGUUUUGGCGGCUGGAGGAAGACAGGACUGAAGAAACACGACAGACUGUAAAAGCAGCAGGAGUACUUAACAACCUUAACUGAAACCAGCAGGGGCACUUAACAACCAAAGUUGAAAGCAGUAUGAGUACUUAUACAGGUUCAACCAUACAAAGCACGCCUCGAACAGUGCUACUUUGCCUACAGUUAACCAAGGGUGAGGCCGCCAAGCCCCAGGACAAGGCCCAGGCGCCACGCCGCGCAUCCACAACCUUCUAAAAGCGGCUUCAUCUCGCAACAUGGUCAAUAAACAAGAUAUUCGCUUUAGAGCCAUGGAAAAGCAUGAACAUAAUCUUCUGUCCUAUUCUCCAAGAUGGACGGGCCUUCAUUAUUUGAGACCACCCAUGAAUAAGUAUCUUUUCACCUCCAAGGGGAAUUGAGUAGGUCGACAUAAACAUCAUGUUGUGACCAAGCGCAAGUCUGACCCGACCAUGGUCAGGCAUCUGUAUAGGAACAAUAGAACUCGGUAGUUCCUAUUUCAACAAGAUCACAGCUGUAAAACUGUGUAUAAGCAAUAGUUUAUGAACAACAUAUAUAACAGAAAACAGCUCGUACCAUAAGUUUCUCUACACAGUUGGACCUGUUCAACAAGUGCAGCAGUGGCACACAUAUCCCACGUGGCCUUCCAACAUUGAAACGCCCCACAAGGACCUCAAGACGAUCAAUAAAGUGUAGGAACUUGUGGAUGUCGAUCUAGUUAACUUCAGUGCCAUUAGUAACAGCCGAGUUAUUACAGAGUAACAAACGAGCAGACUGCUUAACUCUGAAAAAACCUACACGUGCCACCAAUUAUAAGAAAAUAUUAGUUAGAAGUAGCAUAUUCAUGGGAGAUUCGUUGCUACUUCUAAAGUUAAAUUGUGAUUAGUUAGAUAGAAUAGGUGGAUUAAGAAGUAAUUGAGGCAACAAGCAAGAACUAGAUACAAAACUAACAUGGAUGAACAAUUGGAAUGACGUCGGGGUGGAAGAUCACAGUGAAGAUGAGACCAGGUUCUGCUAUUUCCAUCAACAUUAAUGCGCCAACUUUCAGUCCAUAACACUUGAGAAAGUUUAUCCAAGUUUGGCCAUAAAAAAAGCAGCAAUCUUCUUGGUUCAUGAACCCAGCUUGGAAGUAAUAUCCAUGGCUUGUCUUCACUGUGACCAUUAAACUAGUGUAUUCAGUUAUGGCAAGGCCGAGCAUCUUGAGUACACGUGUUCUGGCAGAGCAAAUAAUACACUGCAGGAAAAAUAAUAUGAGAACACAACAUGUUCAAAAAAAACCCACCCUCCCGGAUAGAAAAGAGGAUUCUAGGAACAUAAUGUGCGGGUUUCAAAAUGCUGUGUUAGGAUGAGAAGGAACAAGUGUGGCGUCUCGCCGAGGGCGUAGAAACCUGUAGGGUACUCGCACUUUGGGACUGGAAAUGAAACACACUAGAUUUAGUAGGAAGAAAAAUGCAUCAACGGCGGCGGCUGCCAUCCUAGGAUUACCUGCGACCAAGGGACUUGGAUUUAUCGGGGAUGGAUGAAGAAUUUGUACCUGGUUAUCCAUGAGAAAACCCUAUGCAAUCGCCGAGCGAGGGUUUUCUCUGAACAAGCAGACGAGGGAGAAGGGGAUUCAGGCCCAGUGAAAUAUUGUCGCUUCGUCCAUCCAGCUUACUGCUAAAGCUGGAAAGGGGGGGGUGUGAUUUGACGGCUCAUUGGGCAUUAUUGCGGCGCUACGACCGGGGUGUGUCUACCAUGAAGUUGUGCACUCAAAUUUGUGCAUAUGGCACGUGGACCCCGUUGUCGGUUGCCCCACAUAUCAAUGAAAGGAAGUAGAAAGACAGGAGUAACUAGUUACACAUAAUUAUUUUUUUGACAGAGAGAUACUCCAUCUGUAAAGAAAUAUACAAAUAUUUUAUAUCACAGGCUCACCUUGCCGAGAAAUAUACUCCCUCUGCAACGCACGGGCAUUAUGGGGGUUCAGCUUUUUUAUGGGGGUUCAGCUGAGAAUAUAAUACUCAGAUAGGCUCACGGUUCUGGACUUCGGGCCGCAGGCCGACCCUGCAUGUUUGGGGGCCCAUGUGUUCUACCUCAGUGCUUUUCAUAUUGCAAGCGAUCGGUACGGCGCUGGUUUUAGAUGCUGUCGCAAGGCGAAUACACAAAAUUGAAUAAAGCAUGACAGAUGUUGGAAUGAAAUUGAACGGCAGUUCCUAACCAACAAUCAGAGUUGCAAUUCUAUCAAUGAUAUACCAUGUGAUAAAUAAUACUGUCGUACUACUUAUACACAUAGGACACUUGUUUCACCAUGCCAGAUUAUUACAUCAAAAUCUCUCAGAGGAUAGAUCAGUUCGGUAGUUGUGUGCUGCUACUGAAUAAUUUCAAAGUUGAUUUGGACCAGCUCUCCUUGCCGAGAAAGUUCGAUUUUGACAUCAUCCCCUACCGCAAGAUAUGAUUUAAAUUUGAACCUUGACCAUCCUUUAGCAUCAAUCAUCAUGCGACCAUCCUUUGUACUUACGGUAUAUUGAGCAGGUUCAUUCACACCAAGGCUACGCAUGGUAAGAGAAACUUGGCCACGGUCGCCCUGAUUGUUGAACAACUCCCUCGUUGCUCUAGAAAUUCUCUGUUUGCAAACAAGAAGACAUACCCAAAAAGUUAGAUCAACACAGUGAAUCAUGUGAAACAACAUGGAAAGAAAAAAAGAACGAAGCACUUGGGCGGCCAAUGCUUACCAAGAAGGUGGACAUGUCGGUUUUUGUAAGGACUUUGGUAUAUGAAGUGCGAACUGCAGCCCAGUCUGUUGCCAGUGCAACUGCACGGGCCGGAGCAGAUGCAAGUGCAAGUGUUGGUGCAGGUGUCUAAGCCGUUGCUGCUGCCGGAGAUGGUGCUCCUUGUAGAGCUGGUGCCGGUGUCGGAGCAGGUGCCGGUGUUGAUACCCGAUCCUCCGGUAGAUCAGACUGAUCUGCUGACGCGGUCGGUGCCCAAUCCUCAGCUGGAUCAGACUGAGCUGCUGCCGCUGUCAGUGCUAGAGCAACUCUCGGUGCUCGAUCCGUUGUUGAAGGUGGUACCGAUGUGCGAGACAGCGGCGAUCGUGUCUCGUCUGCUAUGAUCAGCUUUCUAACUUGACUAGGAUCCAUGACCGUGAUCCAGUUUUUUUUCUUCAUUUCUUUUAAACGCGAGAAGGACUAAUUGUGGUGUUUUUGUUAAACCAAACUGUAGUUCAUCAUAGGGAUUCAGCUUGUACUCAGACAACAGAAUGAUCCGAUUUUUUCCAGUAAUAUAAGUGAUGGACAGUGCCUUUGUUACUGACACGACAUAAGAAGUGAAACCUGCAAAAAUAGCCAUCGUAGAGCAAACCAAACGGUUUAUUCUGUGAUGAAUGUCACAUGGCAAAACCUGCAUCGUAAAAUUGCAGGAAAUGAAAGAAAACAUGGCAUUAAAUAAAUAAGAUUUAGAUAGUAAAUCAAUAAGAUUUACUUGAUGUGACACUAGUGAAUCCUUACCAGGAAAUCACUAUGUUGAAGUACUAAACAGAAGAUUGAUCGUCCAACUACGCGUGGCAUGCAGGGGCCCCGCCUACUCCCACAAGCAGGACAGUCCAAAGGUCGUGACAAAUCGUAUGGACUGAACGUCCAUGGGACUGGCAAUCCUGGUGGGUGCGAUAAACCCUGCAAUGCAUACAGAUAUUGGAGUGUAACCAUAAUUGAUAAACCGUCCUCACAAAAAAUAUGAUCUGGAUACUUCAAAAUAUACAGACUGAAUUGAGUGGACAGACAUUAACAUAGACCGUUCUUAGGACUGACCACACACCAAAAGCGGCAGUACUAAUAAACAAUACAGGGUUCAUAAACACAAAUCAAGUACUGAACAAUAGUCCUUACUACAGACAAGCAAAGUUGCACUAACUAAACUCUAUAGACUAUUUCUUGCCACCGACCUACGGGAUGAACCCCGCAUAACUGACUAGGCCAUGGACUUCGUGUGAGAUGUCUACAUGCACCAUCACCAUCUUGUCAACCUUGGAGAACCUAACAGAGUGGUCUUUCCACUCAUAAACAUGAUGAUGAAGUCAGGGCCGCAUCAGAUUUGUUGGGAAGCUUUACAAGAACCACACCCUUCGUAAUCGAAGGCACAACCAGGAAAUUGUUGUGGUCAAGUACAGCCUCGAGAACACGCCUGACAACAAUGCUACAGGAAAACACUAGUUCAGGACAUGUGGCGACAAGGACACAGCAGCUGGAUAAUUCAGCAGUAGAACUCAUCAUCAGGUCUUCCAGUUCACACGACAUGACUUUGAGAACUUCAUCUCCAUCGCGGACCUGGUUCUAAUUCAAACAGAAACCAUAUUUUAUUAAUACCUCCGUUCAGAAAUAUAAGAUGAUUUUCGAUAUUAUACUCCAUAUAUGACUACAUAUACGCAUAGAAAUGAGUGAACAAAGACACUAGAACAUGUCUUCAAAGGCAUGAGAGCAUAGGGAUUACAUGCAAUAUCCGAACACAAGUUACUGAGGCAAAUAUACCCUCUUAAAAGGUAGCAUUGAUGUUCAUAAAGUACUCCCUCCAUCCCAAAAUUCUUGUCUUAGAUUUGUCUAGAUACGGAUGUAUCAAGUUGAUACAUCCGUAUCUAGACAAAUCUCAAACAAGAAAUUUGGCAUAGAGGGAGUAGUUGAAAGUAAUCUAUAAGAAAUCAGUGUCAACCUCUCGCAUGUUUUGGUCAAAAGAGGAAUUUAGAACCAUCAUUUGGCACACUAAAAUCACAUGCAAGAUCACCCAGAAAGUUGUACUACCAGUACUAGUACUGCGUGUUAGAUGAAAAAACACGAUCAAGAUCGAGAAAAAGAUCGUCAACAAGAGACAUUACCUUGACUUGCUUAAUGAGGGAUCCCGGAGAGGGGGGCUUGGACAGGGCGAUGGCUUUGAGCUUGUCUGUGGUAGUCUCGGCGGGGUGCUUGCACUUCUUCGUACCAUGAGUCUCGAUGGUUCUGGCCAGAUCCAUAGACAUCACGUCGGCCGAUGCUCCGGCGUCCAUCCAAGAGAGGAAGCUGAGAGAGAAGAGUGAAAGGAGGAACAAGAUGAGGGAGAAGCGAAGCGAGUGGGGGUUUUCUUCAAGAGAGGAAGCUGAGAGAGAAGAGUGAAAUGAUGGUUGCUUCGUCCGUCCAACUUACUGCUGGAAAGGAGGGGGUUUUGUGAUUUGACGGCUCAUUGGGCAUUACUGCGGCGGUUCGAUCGGGGUAGUCUACCAUCACUGUACUACAGAGUAAUUUAGUGCAUGGCUGGUGGACCCAGGUGCUGGCUGUCCCACACGUCAGCGAAAGUGACUAAUUUAGUGCAUGGCUAGAGGAGGAUCCGCACGGUAGAGCGUGUCCACUGCUUUUCUGAAGAAGAAAAAUGAUUACAGCAAGCGUUUCCACUCUUACGAUGGAGGAGUGCGAAACACGACAGCCACUUGAACAUACACAGUGCUCCUACUACUAGGCAUGUGCAGUGGUUCAUACGUCAGUACUACACAAUCUUGUUGCUAGUGUAGUAAGAUAUGAUGAUAACAAAUGAUGCUGUGCGCAUGUCAACUACUCCUAUAUGUAACAUAGUACCGCUUUUUCGACUAUCCGGUCAAGAAUGAACGGUGAGAUCAAUGUUAACAGAACUAGGUCCACAGCGCACGGAGAGUACGGUGCUACAGUACUCCAUGAAACAUGAACCAUAUGAAGCACGAAUAGUGUUAGGCAGGGUGUAUGAAGGGUGCACGGGAUGGGAGCAAAAGUUCCGUUGUCGACGCACUUUUGGGUGUUUGGCAGAGUGCAUGAAGGGUGCAUGAGUCCACACUAGUAGUUUGACAAAAACACACGAAGCGGAAACAACUAUAUUGAGAUGAGAAUGCAACCAAACACAUCCACACGCUUUGUGAUACAGUGACUGAUCUGCACCGUCUGAGAUUGAUCCAACGAUCAUGUUGCGCCGAGACAUGGACAUGCCCAUGCAGAGGGCGCCUAAACACCACCAAAGUCCCUCUGCUUCUCGAGGCGCAUGACGUUGGUGAUGCAGGGUGCAACCGCCCGCAGAGCUCGCUCCCGGUCGACGGGAGCCAGCUCGUCAAAGACGGUGUCCAAUGGCAUGAAUGGAUUCCGGUGACAGAGCCCUGAAAGGAUUCACCCAACAACAGCGACGGUAGCCCGCAACCCCUCCUUGUCCAGCUCAACCCCCACCAUCGCACGGAGACGGCUCAGCUCCUCGGAGAUAUAGGUGAAGAAUGAGACCAGGUCAGGAAGCCGCAACUCGUUGAAGUCGACUGGGUGGUCGAGCGGGUUUAGCCUGACGGCCGGCAUCAUCGUGCUGGCACGACGGUAGGCAUCUUGCAGCCACAACACGUGUGUGGCAACUUGGUUCACCAAGUGGCUGAGGUGAUCCUGGACCUUGUCACGAUCGGCCCGCUCGCGCUCCAUCCGGCUCCCCUGAUGGCCUACCGUGUCUCCCACUUUCUACAGCAACGCUGCCGACGCCUCGAGCAUCUUUGUGGUGGACGCCUGUCGCUUUUGAAGCUCCGUGAACUCCCGCACAUAACGGAGGAGUAUGGCACUCCUCUCCUCCUUGAGCUCACGAAGCUCCACGUCCUUGGCCCUGAGCUCCGCAUCCUUGGCAUGGAGCUCCUGUGUUAGGCGCCUCACCUCGAACUCCGUGAUCUGCUGCGCCGCCAUGGCACCAGGUAGAAGCAAUGGGGAGAGGAAGCAAAGGGGGCGAAAUGGCUGAAAGGCAAUGCAAUCUACGGGAAGGUGGAGGGACCCAGCCAAGGAGCGGGGAAUCUUUUGGUUUUCACCACGGUAAAACACACCAGUCGACGACUUCUCACAUCAGGGAGCAGUGGGUUUUUACAGGCGGAGUCAUCAUGACUAAUUGCUGCCGCGCCUGCUCCCAUCAAUCAAAAAAUUAAAAAUCCUGCCAUGCCUGCUCCUGUCAAUAAAAAAAUUAAAAAUCCUGCCGCACCCAAACACCAGAGCAAUGCCGUAGUGGAUAUUUAAAUUUACCUGCCGACAAGUAGAUAAAAAAGGGGUGAAAAAACAAAUGUGGCGGCGGCCUAGCUAAUCGGUCAAACUAUCCCAAUUAGCUAGCCACCGUGCUUCACUGAUGUACUCGACGGGAAAGGUUGUCUUUCAUGAUUUGACGACUCAUUUACUUGCUUUGGUGCUACGACCGAGGAGGACCCAGAAAACACGCGGUAGGGCAUCCCAUGUCAGGAAGAAUAUAUGCGUGCACCACCCGGGAGGACCCCGAAACCGCGCGGUAGGGUGUGCCACGUCUCGGCAUGGAGGAAAAAUGUGCGUGUAAAAAUAUAAUGUAUCAGACGUAGUACCUAUGGUUUGACCUCGGGACCUAGCCAGUCGGUCGAAAACACCCCACUAGGCACACAGCUUCAUCAUGCAAACGUGGCAUGGAGGAUAGAUGUGGUUAGCUCCGUCUCGACAGCCACAAUGUCUCUUGUUCUAGGCGAUUCUUCUAUUUUCCAAGCUUUUUUUAGUUGUAAUAACACCAGGCAAGCUAGUGCCGCUCUUCGUGUGUGCCCGUGCAGAGGUUAGACGAUGGAGAGAAGAGAGGGAUUGAGAUCGCAGACCUGGGACCCACCAGUAAGUGAGACAACGGUCAUGCACGUGUUGACGAGGCACUCCCUCUACUCUAAUCAACGCAAGUACUGUAUAAAAUCAAGUUAUGGAACAAAGCCAACAACCGUUCACUUUUUCAGGCUAUCGACUUACGCUUUGUAGUCCAGGUUGCCAGUUCGAAUCUCGUCUUUCAAAUUUGUUAGUUUUAGGUCCAAAUUUGAUUAAUGACAAGUGGGACCCCCGUGUGUUGUUCCGAUAUUUCAGUGUAGGAUGGUAUUCUUGAACAAACACUUUGCGCGGUUAGACAAGUAACAACAUGAGUUACACGUAUUUUACAAGUUUACAAACAAAAAUGACAGCGGCAUAGAAUAUCACAUCCACCCCGCAGCUUAGAUACUAUGGUGAUACGAGUUUUUACACCGUUGGAAGUGAGAUCCAAUGGCUUGGGAGUAGUCUUUGUAAUUAUGCGCAAUUUCCAAACUCUCCAAAGGUUUUUUUUUGCAAAUAAAACAUUCAGGCCUCGUGUAUGCCGCUGCAUCUUCGAUCCAACGGCUCCCCGUUGCUCAUAUUAGGUGCUCCCCGUAACUUAAUUACCCGCUGAUCAAUUGAAAGUACAGUGGGGUUUUUACGCCCAAAUUGCGAGUGUCGUGUUCUCCUCAGGGACUAGGCGACGACGACUAUGCUCGACUAAAGCUAGGUGACAGAAUACAGAUGAUGAUUGCAAGGAAAUAAACCUAAACUAAACAGGGUAGUUCCUGAAGAUCAUCGCCAAAGAAAAUGCAAAAUAAGCAAAGAGAGAUUCAGAUUUUCUAUACUCUCUUUUUGGCAAUUUCCAUAUUACUCGAAGAAUUUAAUGCUAACACAAGAAAACAUACGGCUAGGAAAUUAAAAAGACAAGAACAUAUAUAUAACUAUCUAACAUGAACAGUGGGAAGAAACAAGAACUUGAGCUAAUACAUGGACUACAAAACUGAAUAUAUUUCUGCAGAAAAGGGAAGACACUGUGACGACACAUACAUGAACUGGAAUUACGUAAAUUCAGUGCAAGUGACAAGCAUACAUGUACCACACGGUUGACAAAUAUAACAUUCACGAACUUAUUUUAUAUAGAUGCAUCAACUAGUCAGAUCCCAGAAAACAAACACUAUAUUAUACAAGUACUAAACAGAGCAAACAGCUGUUUACAUGUACUCUUCAAAUCUGAACCUUACAAGUCUUGAACAUCUCUCAAUACUAUAGAAUUUCAGAGAGAGAGAGAGAGAGAGAGAAGGCAACAGCAGGAGGUUGAGAGAGAAGAAGCAGUAGCAGGGGGCGUUGAGAGGAGGGAGAAGGAGCAGCGGGGCAAAGGAAGAUGGAGUAGCAGCAACGACUUGGAGUUUGGAGAUGGAGAAGGAGCAGAACAACAGCGUGGUAGGGGAAAGUAGAAGAGCAGCAGCAAUAGGGAUUCAGAGAGGAGGCGAGCUUGGAGAAGGAUAGCAGCAGGGAGAGUUGUAGAUGAGCAGCAGCAGUAGCGCGGGGGAGAAGGAGCAGCAGACAGGGAUUCAGAGAAGCGAGGAAGAAGGGAAGAAGAAGCAGCGGCGGUGUGUCUGGCCGGGCACGCCAACUGGAGGGAGAGGUCGCGCAAGGUGGGCACUGGUGGUUGGCGCUGUGAUGGAUGGAUGAUGGUGUGGGUGGUGGAUGGCGCGGGUGAUGGUGGAGCAACGAGGUCGCCGAAGCGCGUCGCCACGAUGGCCUGGCCGCGGCGGCGGCCGGAGGUGGGAGAAGAAGUGGUGAGGGGGAGAGAGAUGGAGAUGCCAGCUCCCUUUGGGAAUGGAGGCUGCUAGGGAUUUUGAUCCCCUCCGAUCAGAUCUGAAUGUUUUCACUUUGGCCCUCCUUCUUCCUUCUUUUGGCACAAGAUGAUCCCUCAACUCCUUAAGCUAGCCCCCCUAAGCUUUAAUCUUCUUCAAGCUUGAGUCCCUCUUUCUUCUCUUCUUGCCCGUGAUCUUGUUCCUCAAUUCUUUCUAGACAGGAACUUGUAGAUUAUAGUGCCUUGUCGCACUUUUCUGCAAAAGAAACACAAUGACUAGUAAAUGAUUCAUUAUAUGAUUUCCAUGCAAAUAUUCAAUAUUUCACAUCAAGAAUUAAUGGUCAUAUCUCAAUAAACCGCAUAUUUGAGUGCCAAAAGAUGUAUAUGAAAUGUGCUUAUCAAGUUCCCCACACUCAAAUCUUUGCUUGUCCUCAAGCAAAGGCAUAUGACAAAAGCAAGAACAUGAACAGUGAACUGACUAGAGAAUGUCAAGUGAAGUAGAUCUCUAAACAGUGCAUGCUUUGGACUUGGCUAGUGAAAAUUAAUGGUUAAGAGUGCUACAUAUCAAUAGGACACUAGUAAACUCGACCAUUUUAAACUUUUGCAAUGAUAAACGAAGAUUAGCAAGUUCAAAUGCUGAUUGUGCCAAAGGGUUCCUAAAGAGAGCAUGAUCCCAAAAAAAACUUAUUACCAGGAACAUAACAUUAUGGUAGAAGCACUUAUUGAAUUUUAAGGAAGUAAUGGUAAUAUUUUAUUGAUCUCACCAAUGGAACAUACCACCGAUCCCGAGAACAUGGUAUACACCCGGCUUGGCCAAUUAUUAGUUUUUUUUAGUUUGUCUCCCCAAAGGAACAUACCACCGAUCCCGAGAACAUGGUAUACACCUUGUUCGACAAUUACAUUUCUAUAAUUAUUAAUUACUGCCCAAGCUAACCUGAUUUCACAUGCCACCGAUCCCGGGAACAUGACAUGCUACUGUAGGUAGCCAGACUUAUUUAUUCAUUAUUACUUAUCUUAAAUGAACAACACAUAAGAACAAAAACAGGAAUCAUCACUUCUCCAUGUCUGGUUCACAUGCUACCGAUCCAGGGAACAUAGCAUGCUAAUCCAUAGUGGUUAGGUGAUUGCUCUCAAUGGGAAGACACUUGGCACAAAUUCAGCAUCUAAACAUGGUGAUCUAGGUGUAUCAUAGUAAAUGCAGAAAAUGACGAAGUUUUCUAGUGUACUAGGGAUUUGAGCACUCAAAACUAGUAGUUCUCACUAAUUUUAGCAAAGCAUGCAUGGUGUAGAUCACUAGUUUACAAGGCAUCCAAAAAUCAAGUUCACAAAUUCACAUCAAGCACAAUGCCAAAGGUGAGAUUCAGCUUGACAACAAGUAAUAACUGGCUCAAGCAACCCAACUAGCAAUUGAAUUCAGCAUGUAUUUAUGAUAUUCAGAAUGGGUCAUGAAACAGCUCACCGGGCUUAAUGAAGUAGCACUCGCUUGAUCACCUCACCAACUGCAGCUCUUCUCCUUUUCCUUCCUUAUGGAUGCUCCAGCUUCACUCUUCUUCGUGUGUGCCCCAUUGCUUCUCCUCAUCGCCAUGCUCUGACUCCACCAGGAUCCCAAGGAAUGUCACCUCAAACCUGGUCAGCAUGUAGUAAACAGUGCAGUAGCAAAAGCCUGAAAUAGGACUCACACAAACAACUAUAAGUGAUACGGUCGAUGCCCUCCAAGUCAUCAAUGGUAUAUCCAAUUAUAUAAGCAUAACUAUAAAGCACAUGUUUAGGAUGGCAGAAAUCAGCAUGGUCAAUACUCACACGAGGAUGACAUUUAUCAUUAAGCUCAAGACUAGCAUGGAAAUGAUGUGUUUCAUUAAGCAUAGGACUAGCACGAGGAAAGUAACUAUGAUCAUCGCAAAUGAGAGUAAUGCCACUAACAGGGUAUAUAUCAUCAUAUCCAAGCAAAUGAGUUUUCAAAUCAAUCUUAAGUGAUGGUAUCAUGUAAUGCAAGGUGGUAGCAAAGAAAUCACAAGGCAUCAUGUCAUCAAGAGGAUUGAGUAAACCUGACACAUCACGCUCUGGUAUGACAAUAGGCAAAUGAAUCUCAUGUUCUUCAUCUUCAUCUACAGCAGCUUCUUGUACUUCUUCAGGAGUAAUAGAUGAUGAGUCUUCAACUUGAUCACUUGGGAAUUGCAGCUCUUGACCAUCUUGUUCCUUGUCUUCUAGUUCAUCUUCUUCAAUCUGAGGUAUCUCUUGCUCAAGGCACUUGCUAUCUUGCUCAACGAAAUGUGAAGGUGCUGGAACCUCACAUGUAACCAUGGAUAUCUCAGCCACACUCAACUCAAGUUGUGAAGAAAUAGUGCUGCCAGCGUUGAUGUUCUUCUCAAUCUUCCUUACUUCUUCCACUAGCUCUUUUCCACUCUUGAUCUUCUUCAUUUCAUCUAGUAUAACCUUCCUAAUAGGAUCAUCCUCGGCACUCCAACUAAACUCGAGACUAAGCAAUGUGAUCUUUCUAUAUCAUCAAAUUCAUCUUGUGUGGGCACUUGCACAUGAGAUUGCUCGAAAGGUGCUGGAGUUGUUGGUUGACCAAAUGGAGGACCAUUUAACUCCAUUGGACACAUCUCCUGGUAUUGAGGUAUAUGAGUAGGAGGUGAAUAAAUCUAUUGUGGAGCAUAGUUGUGGUUCUCCUCAUUGUACCUGAAUCCCUGCAUUGGAUAACUAGAGGCAAACGAUGAGAUCUCAGGGUUAUUGCUCCUAUAUGACAUAUUCUGGUUUUUAGACCACCCAUGUGUGUAAUUGUUUUGGUAUGAGUUAGGCAGUGGGGCGAAGCUCAUGCCAUAACAAUCGGGAGGAUGGGAGUAACCACACUGACAUUCAGCGGGCGAAUGGCCCUGAAAUCCACAAAUAUGGCAGGUAGGAGCAACAUAAGGAUGGCCUCUGGAAUUAGGAUUGUAAGAACUAGGCCUAUCCUCAAAAACUCCUUCUUGCUGUCGAGCUAAAUCAUCUAAUCGAUGGGAAAUCUUACCUAUCAGUUCUUAAACACUUUCCGUGUUGUUUGUAGUGUUGCUCGCAUAAGCCUGAUGAUCUGAAUAGUAAGCCAUAACCGAGAGGAUAAUCCAACCUGCAAAAAGGAAAAGAAGACAAAAAGAUACUAACUAGAACAGGGGUUAGUGGCUAGAGAUAUAUCACAAAUAUAUAAAGCACAAAAAGGAAACAAGCUAAACCUAGUCUAAAGCCUAGCACAAUCGCUCGAUGCUAGUCCCCGGCAACGGUGCCAAAAUGAUCAGUUGAAAGUACAGUGGGGUUUUUACGCCCAAACUGCGAGUGUCGUGUUCUCCUCAGGGACUAGGCGACGACGACUAUGCUCGACUAAAGCUAGGUGACAGAAUACAAAUGAUGAUUGCAAGGAAAUAAACCUAAACUAAACAUGGUAGUUCCUAAAGAUCAUCGCCAAAGAAAAUGCAAAAUAAGCAAAGAGAUAUUCAGAUUUUCUAUACUCUCUUUUUGGCAAUUUCCAUAUUACUCAAAGAAUUUAAUGCUAACACAAGAAAACAUACGGCUAGGAAAUUAAAAAGACAAGAACAUAUAUAUAACUAUCUAACAUGAACAGUGGGAAGAAACAAGAACUUGAGCUAAUACAUGGACUACAAAACUGAAUAUAUUUCUGCAGAAAAGGGAAGACACUGUGACGACACAUACAUGAACUGGAAUUACGUAAAUUCAGUGCAAGUGACAAGCAUACAUGUACCACACGGUUGACAAAUAUAACAUUCACGAACUUAUUUUAUAUAGAUGCAUGAACUAGUCAGAUCCCAGCAAACAGCUGUUUACAUGUACUCUUCAAAUCUGAACCUUACAAGUCUUGAACAUCUCUCAAUACUAUAGAAUUUCAGAGAGAGAGAGAGAGAGAAGGCAACAGCAGGAGGUUGAGAGAGAAGAAGCAGUAGCAGGGGGCGUUGAGAGGAGGGAGAAGGAGCAGCGGGGCAAAGGAAGAUGGAGUAGCAGCAACGACUUGGAGUUUGGAGAUGGAGAAGGAGCAGAACAACAGCGUGGUAGGGGAAAGUAGAAGAGCAGCAGCAAUAGGGAUUCAGAGAGGAGGCGAGCUUGGAGAAGGAUAGCAGCAGGGAGAGUUGUAGAUGAGCAGCAGCAGUAGCGCGGGGGAGAAGGAGCAGCAGACAGGGAUUCAGAGAAGCGAGGAAGAAGGGAAGAAGAAGCAGCGGCGGUGUGUCUGGCCGGGCACGCCAGCUGGAGGGAGAGGUCGCGCGAGGUGGGCACUGGUGGUUGGCGCUGUGAUGGAUGGAUGAUGGUGUGGGUGGUGGAUGGCGCGGGUGAUGGUGGAGCAACGAGGUCGCCGAAGCGCGUCGCCACGAUGGCCUGGCCGCGGCGGCGGCCGGAGGUGGGAGAAGAAGUGGUGAGGGGGAGAGAGAUGGAGAUGCCAGCUCCCUUUGGGAAUGGAGGCUGCUAGGGAUUUUGAUCCCCUCCGAUCAGAUCUGAAUGUUUUCACUUUGGCCCUCCUCCUUCCUUCUUUUGGCACAAGAUGUUCCCUCCACUUCUUAAGCUAGCCCCCCUAAGCUUUAAUCUUCUUCAAGCUUGAGUCCCUCUUUCUUCUCUUCUUGCCCGUGAUCUUGUUCCUCAAUUCUUUCUAGACAGGAACUUGUAGAUUAUAGUGCCUUGUCGCACUUUUCUGCAAAAGAAACACAAUGACUAGUAAAUGAUUCAUUAUAUGAUUUCCAUGCAAAUAUUCAAUAUUUCACAUCAAGAAUUAAUGGUCAUAUCUCAAUAAACCGCAUAUUUGAGUGCCAAAAGAUGUAUAUGAAAUGUGCUUAUCAAGUUCCCCCACACUUAAAUCUUUGCUUGUCCUCAAGCAAAGGCAUAUGACAAAAGCAAGAACAUGAACAGUGAACUGACUAGAGAAUGUCAAGUGAAGUAGAUCUCUAAACAAUGCAUGCUUUGGACUUGGCUAGUGAAAAUUAAUGGUUAAGAGUGCUACAUAUCAAUAGGACACUAGUAAACUCGACCAUUUUAAACUUUUGCAAUGAUAAACGAAGAUUAGCAAGUUCAAAUGCUGAUUGUGCCAAAGGGUUCCUAAAGAGAGCAUGAUCCCAAAAAAAAACUUAUUACCCGGAACAUAACAUUAUGGUAGAAGCACUUAUUGAAUUUGAAGGAAGUAAUGGUAAUAUUUUAUUGAUCUCACCAAUGGAACAUACCACCGAUCCCAAGAACAUGGUAUACACCCGGCUUGGCCAAUUAUUAGUUUUUUUUAGUUUGUCUCCCCAAAGGAACAUACCACCGAUCCCGAGAACAUGGUGUACACCUGGUUCGACAAUUACAUUUCUAUAAUUAUUAAUUACUGCCCAAGCUAACCUGAUUUCACAUGCCACCGAUCCCGGGAACAUGACAUGCUACUGUAGGUAGCCAGACUUAUUUAUUCAUUAUUACUUAUCUUAAAUGAACAACACAUAAGAACAAAAACAGGAAUCAUCACUUCUCCAUGUCUGGUUCACAUGCUACCGAUCCAGGGAACAUAGCAUGCUAAUCCAUAGUGGUUAGGUGAUUGCUCUCAAUGGGAAGACACUUGGCACAAAUUCAGCAUCUAAACAUGGUGAUCUAGGUGUAUCAUAGUAAAUGCAGAAAAUGACGAAGUUUUCUAGUGUACUAGGGAUUUGAGCACUCAAAACUAGUAGUUCUCACUAAUUUUAGCAAAGCAUGCAUGGUGUAGAUCACUAGUUUACAAGGCAUCCAAAAAUCAAGUUCACAAAUUCACAUCAAGCACAAUGCCAAAGGUGAGAUUCAGCUUGACAACAAGUAAUAACUGGCUCAAGCAACCCAACUAGCAAUUGAAUUCAGCAUGUAUUUAUGAUAUUCAGAAUGGGUCAUGAAACAGCUCACCGGGCUUAAUGAAGUAGCACUCGCUUGAUCACCUCACCAACUGCAGCUCUUCUCCUUUUCCUUCCUUAUGGAUGCUCCAGCUUCACUCUUCUUCGUGUGUGCCCCAUUGCUUCUCCUCAUCGCCAUGCUCUGACUCCACCAGGAUCCCAAGGAAUGUCACCUCAAACCUGGUCAGCAUGUAGUAAACAGUGCAGUAGCAAAAGCCUGAAAUAGGACUCACACAAACAACUAUAAGUGAUACGGUCGAUGCCCUCCAAGUCAUCAAUGGUAUAUCCAAUUAUAUAAGCAUAACUAUAAAGCACAUGUUUAGGAUGGCAGAAAUCAGCAUGGUCAAUACUCACACGAGGAUGACAUUUAUCAUUAAGCUCAAGACUAGCAUGGAAAUGAUGUGUUUCAUUAAGCAUAGGACUAGCACGAGGAAAGUAACUAUGAUCAUCGCAAAUGAGAGUAAUGCCACUAACAGGGUAUAUAUCAUCAUAUCCAAGCAAAUGAGUUUUCAAAUCAAUCUUAAGUGAUGGUAUCAUGUAAUGCAAGGUGGUAGCAAAGAAAUCACAAGGCAUCAUGUCAUCAAGAGGAUUGAGUAAACCUGACACAUCACGCUCUGGUAUGACAAUAGGCAAAUGAAUCUCAUGUUCUUCAUCUUCAUCUACAGCAGCUUCUUGUACUUCUUCAGGAGUAAUAGAUGAUGAGUCUUCAACUUGAUCACUUGGGAAUUGCAGCUCUUGACCAUCUUGUUCCUUGUCUUCUAGUUCAUCUUCUUCAAUCUGAGGUAUCUCUUGCUCAAGGCACUUGCUAUCUUGCUCAACGAAAUGUGAAGGUGCUGGAACCUCACAUGUAACCAUGGAUAUCUCAGCCACACUCAACUCAAGUUGUGAAGAAAUAGUGCUGCCAGCGUUGAUGUUCUUCUCAAUCUUCCUUACUUCUUCCACUAGCUCUUUUCCACUCUUGAUCUUCUUCAUUUCAUCUAGUAUAACCUUCCUAAUAGGAUCAUCCUCGGCACUCCAACUAAACUCGAGACUAAGCAAUGUGAUCUUUCUAUAUCAUCAAAUUCAUCUUGUGUGGGCACUUGCACAUGAGAUUGCUCGAAAGGUGCUGGAGUUGUUGGUUGACCAAAUGGAGGACCAUUUAACUCCAUUGGACACAUCUCCUGGUAUUGAGGUAUAUGAGUAGGAGGUGAAUAAAUCUAUUGUGGAGCAUAGUUGUGGUUCUCCUCAUUGUACCUGAAUCCCUGCAUUGGAUAACUAGAGGCAAACGAUGAGAUCUCAGGGUUAUUGCUCCUAUAUGACAUAUUCUGGUUUUUAGGCCACCCAUGUGUGUAAUUGUUUUGGUAUGAGUUAGGCAGUGGGGCGAAGCUCAUGCCAUAACAAUCGGGAGGAUGGGAGUAACCACACUGACAUUCAGCGGGCGAAUGGCCCUGAAAUCCACAAAUAUGGCAGGUAGGAGCAACAUAAGGAUGGCCUCUGGAAUUAGGAUCGUAAGAACUAGGCCUAUCCUCAAAAACUCCUUCUCGCUGUCGAGCUAAAUCAUCUAAUCGAUGGGAAAUCUUACCUAUCAGUUCUUAAACACUUUCCGUGUUGUUUGUAGUGUUGCUCGCAUAAGCCUGAUGAUCUGAAUAGUAAGCCAUAACCGAGAGGAUAAUCCAACCUGCAAAAAGGAAAAGAAGACAAAAAGAUACUAACUAGAACAGGGGUUAGUGGCUAGAGAUAUAUCACAAAUAUAUAAAGCACAAAAAGGAAACAAGCUAAACCUAGUCUAAAGCCUAGCACAAUCGCUCGAUGCUAGUCCCCGGCAACGGUGCCAAAAUGAUCAGUUGAAAGUACAGUGGGGUUUUUACGCCCAAACUGCGAGUGUCGUGUUCUCCUCAGGGACUAGGCGACAAUGACUAUGCUCGACUAAAGCUAGGUGACAGAAUACAAAUGAUGAUUGCAAGGAAAUAAACCUAAACUAAACAUGGUAGUUCCUAAAGAUCAUCGCCAAAGAAAAUGCAAAAUAAGCAAAGAGAUAUUCAGAUUUUCUAUACUCUCUUUUUGGCAAUUUCCAUAUUACUCAAAGAAUUUAAUGCUAACACAAGAAAACAUACGGCUAGGAAAUUAAAAAGACAAGAACAUAUAUAUAACUAUCUAACAUGAACAGUGGGAAGAAACAAGAACUUGAGCUAAUACAUGGACUACAAAACUGAAUAUAUUUCUGCAGAAAAGGGAAGACACUGUGACGACACAUACAUGAACUGGAAUUACGUAAAUUCAGUGCAAGUGACAAGCAUACAUGUACCACACGGUUGACAAAUAUAACAUUCACGAACUUAUUUUAUAUAGAUGCAUGAACUAGUCAGAUCCCAGAAAACAAACACUAUAUUAUACAAGUACUAAACAGAGCAAACAGCUGUUUACAUGUACUCUUCAAAUCUGAACCUUACAAGUCUUGAACAUCUCUCAAUACUAUAGAAUUUCAGAGAGAGAGAGAGAGAAGGCAACAGCAGGAGGUUGAGAGAGAAGAAGCAGUAGCAGGGGGCGUUGAGAGGAGGGAGAAGGAGCAGCGGGGCAAAGGAAGAUGGAGUAGCAGCAACGACUUGGAGUUUGGAGAUGGAGAAGGAGCAGAACAACAGCGUGGUAGGGGAAAGUAGAAGAGCAGCAGCAAUAGGGAUUCAGAGAGGAGGCGAGCUUGGAGAAGGAUAGCAGCAGGGAGAGUUGUAGAUGAGCAGCAGCAGUAGCGCGGGGGAGAAGGAGCAGCAGACAGGGAUUCAGAGAAGCGAGGAAGAAGGGAAGAAGAAGCAGCGGCGGUGUGUCUGGCCGGGCACGCCAGCUGGAGGGAGAGGUCGCGCGAGGUGGGCACUGGUGGUUGGCGCUGUGAUGGAUGGAUGAUGGUGUGGGUGGUGGAUGGCGCGGGUGAUGGUGGAGCAACGAGGUCGCCGAAGCGCGUCGCCACGAUGGCCUGGCCGCGGCGGCGGCCGGAGGUGGGAGAAGAAGUGGUGAGGGGGAGAGAGAUGGAGAUGCCAGCUCCCUUUGGGAAUGGAGGCUGCUAGGGAUUUUGAUCCCCUCCGAUCAGAUCUGAAUGUUUUCACUUUGGCCCUCCUCCUUCCUUCUUUUGGCACAAGAUGAUCCCUCCACUUCUUAAGCUAGCCCCCCUAAGCUUUAAUCUUCUUCAAGCUUGAGUCCCUCUUUCUUCUCUUCUUGCCCGUGAUCUUGUUCCUCAAUUCUUUCUAGACAGGAACUUGUAGAUUAUAGUGCCUUGUCGCACUUUUCUGCAAAAGAAACACAAUGACUAGUAAAUGAUUCAUUAUAUGAUUUCCAUGCAAAUAUUCAAUAUUUCACAUCAAGAAUUAAUGGUCAUAUCUCAAUAAACCGCAUAUUUGAGUGCCAAAAGAUGUAUAUGAAAUGUGCUUAUCAAGUUCCCCCACACUUAAAUCUUUGCUUGUCCUCAAGCAAAGGCAUAUGACAAAAGCAAGAACAUGAACAGUGAACUGACUAGAGAAUGUCAAGUGAAGUAGAUCUCUAAACAAUGCAUGCUUUGGACUUGGCUAGUGAAAAUUAACGGUUAAGAGUGCUACAUAUCAAUAGGACACUAGUAAACUCGACCAUUUUAAACUUUUGCAAUGAUAAACGAAGAUUAGCAAGUUCAAAUGCUGAUUGUGCCAAAGGGUUCCUAAAGAGAGCAUGAUCCCAAAAAAAACUUAUUACCCGGAACAUAACAUUAUGGUAGAAGCACUUAUUGAAUUUGAAGGAAGUAAUGGUAAUAUUUUAUUGAUCUCACCAAUGGAACAUACCACCGAUCCCGAGAACAUGGUAUACACCCGGCUUGGCCAAUUAUUAGUUUUUUUUAGUUUGUCUCCCCAAAGGAACAUACCACCGAUCCCGAGAACAUGGUAUACACCUGGUUCGACAAUUACAUUUCUAUAAUUAUUAAUUACUGCCCAAGCUAACCUGAUUUCACAUGCCACCGAUCCCGGGAACAUGACAUGCUACUGUAGGUAGCCAGACUUAUUUAUUCAUUAUUACUUAUCUUAAAUGAACAACACAUAAGAACAAAAACAGGAAUCAUCACUUCUCCAUGUCUGGUUCACAUGCUACCGAUCCAGGGAACAUAGCAUGCUAAUCCAUAGUGGUUAGGUGAUUGCUCUCAAUGGGAAGACACUUGGCACAAAUUCAGCAUCUAAACAUGGUGAUCUAGGUGUAUCAUAGUAAAUGCAGAAAAUGACGAAGUUUUCUAGUGUACUAGGGAUUUGAGCACUCAAAACUAGUAGUUCUCACUAAUUUUAGCAAAGCAUGCAUGGUGUAGAUCACUAGUUUACAAGGCAUCCAAAAAUCAAGUUCACAAAUUCACAUCAAGCACAAUGCCAAAGGUGAGAUUCAGCUUGACAACAAGUAAUAACUGGCUCAAGCAACCCAACUAGCAAUUGAAUUCAGCAUGUAUUUAUGAUAUUCAGAAUGGGUCAUGAAACAGCUCACCGGGCUUAAUGAAGUAGCACUCGCUUGAUCACCUCACCAACUGCAGCUCUUCUCCUUUUCCUUCCUUAUGGAUGCUCCAGCUUCACUCUUCUUCGUGUGUGCCCCAUUGCUUCUCCUCAUCGCCAUGCUCUGACUCCACCAGGAUCCCAAGGAAUGUCACCUCAAACCUGGUCAGCAUGUAGUAAACAGUGCAGUAGCAAAAGCCUGAAAUAGGACUCACACAAACAACUAUAAGUGAUACGGUCGAUGCCCUCCAAGUCAUCAAUGGUAUAUCCAAUUAUAUAAGCAUAACUAUAAAGCACAUGUUUAGGAUGGCAGAAAUCAGCAUGGUCAAUACUCACACGAGGAUGACAUUUAUCAUUAAGCUCAAGACUAGCAUGGAAAUGAUGUGUUUCAUUAAGCAUAGGACUAGCACGAGGAAAGUAACUAUGAUCAUCGCAAAUGAGAGUAAUGCCACUAACAGGGUAUAUAUCAUCAUAUCCAAGCAAAUGAGUUUUCAAAUCAAUCUUAAGUGAUGGUAUCAUGUAAUGCAAGGUGGUAGCAAAGAAAUCACAAGGCAUCAUGUCAUCAAGAGGAUUGAGUAAACCUGACACAUCACGCUCUGGUAUGACAAUAGGCAAAUGAAUCUCAUGUUCUUCAUCUUCAUCUACAGCAGCUUCUUGUACUUCUUCAGAAGUAAUAGAUGAUGAGUCUUCAACUUGAUCACUUGGGAAUUGCAGCUCUUGACCAUCUUGUUCCUUGUCUUCUAGUUCAUCUUCUUCAAUCUGAGGUAUCUCUUGCUCAAGGCACUUGCUAUCUUCCUCAACGAAAUGUGAAGGUGCUGGAACCUCACAUGUAACCAUGGAUAUCUCAGCCACACUCAACUCAAGUUGUGAAGAAAUAGUGCUGCCAGCGUUGAUGUUCUUCUCAAUCUUCCUUACUUCUUCCACUAGCUCUUUUCCACUCUUGAUCUUCUUCAUUUCAUCUAGUAUAACCUUCCUAAUAGGAUCAUCCUCGGCACUCCAACUAAACUCGAGACUAAGCAAUGUGAUCUUUCUAUAUCAUCAAAUUCAUCUUGUGUGGGCACUUGCACAUGAGAUUGCUCGAAAGGUGCUGGAGUUGUUGGUUGACCAAAUGGAGGACCAUUUAACUCCAUUGGACACAUCUCCUGGUAUUGAGGUAUAUGAGUAGGAGGUGAAUAAAUCUAUUGUGGAGCAUAGUUGUGGUUCUCCUCAUUGUACCUGAAUCCCUGCAUUGGAUAACUAGAGGCAAACGAUGAGAUCUCAGGGUUAUUGCUCCUAUAUGACAUAUUCUGGUUUUUAGGCCACCCAUGUGUGUAAUUGUUUUGGUAUGAGUUAGGCAGUGGGGCGAAGCUCAUGCCAUAACAAUCGGGAGGAUGGGAGUAACCACACUGACAUUCAGCGGGCGAAUGGCCCUGAAAUCCACAAAUAUGGCAGGUAGGAGCAACAUAAGGAUGGCCUCUGGAAUUAGGAUCGUAAGAACUAGGCCUAUCCUCAAAAACUCCUUCUCGCUGUCGAGCUAAAUCAUCUAAUCGAUGGGAAAUCUUACCUAUCAGUUCUUAAACACUUUCCGUGUUGUUUGUAGUGUUGCUCGCAUAAGCCUGAUGAUCUGAAUAGUAAGCCAUAACCGAGAGGAUAAUCCAACCUGCAAAAAGGAAAAGAAGACAAAAAGAUACUAACUAGAACAGGGGUUAGUGGCUAGAGAUAUAUCACAAAUAUAUAAAGCACAAAAAGGAAACAAGCUAAACCUAGUCUAAAGCCUAGCACAAUCGCUCGACGCUAGUCCCCGGCAACGGCGCCAAAAUGAUCAAUUGAAAGUACAGUGGGGUUUUUACGCCCAAACUGCGAGUGUCGUGUUCUCCUCAGGGACUAGGCGACGACGACUAUGCUCGACUAAAGCUAGGUGACAGAAUACAAAUGAUGAUUGCAAGGAAAUAAACCUAAACUAAACAUGGUAGUUCCUGAAGAUCAUCGCCAAAGAAAAUGCAAAAUAAGCAAAGAGAUAUUCAGAUUUUCUAUACUCUCUUUUUGGCAAUUUCCAUAUUACUCAAAGAAUUUAAUGCUAACACAAGAAAACAUACGGCUAGGAAAUUAAAAAGACAAGAACAUAUAUAUAACUAUCUAACAUGAACAGUGGGAACAAACAAGAACUUGAGCUAAUACAUGGACUACAAAACUGAAUAUAUUUCUGCAGAAAAGGGAAGACACUGUGACGACGCAUACAUGAACUGGAAUUACGUAAAUUCAGUGCAAGUGACAAGCAUACAUGUACCACACGGUUGACAAAUAUAACAUUCACGAACUUAUUUUAUAUAGAUGCAUCAACUAGUCAGAUCCCAGAAAACAAACACUAUAUUAUACAAGUACUAAACAGAGCAAACAGCAGUUUACAUGUACUCUUCAAAUCUGAACCUUACAAGUCUUGAACAUCUCUCAAUAGUAUAGAAUUUGAGAGAGAGAGAGAGAGAGAGAGAAGGCAACAGCAGGAGGUUGAGAGAGAAGAAGCAGUAGCAGGGGGCGUUGAGAGGAGGGAGAAGGAGCAGCGGGGCAAAGGAAGAUGGAGUAGCAGCAACAACUUGGAGUUUGGAGAUGGAGAAGGAGCAGAACAGCAGCGUGGUAGGGGAAAGUAGAAGAGCAGCAACAGUAGGGAUUCAGAGAGGAGGCGAGCUUGGACAAGGAUAGCAGCAGGGAGAGUUGUAGACGAGCAACAGCAGUAGCGCAGGGGAGAAGGAGCAGCAGACAGGGAUUCAUAGAAGCGGGGAAGAAGGGAAGAAGAAGCAGCGGCGGUGUGUCUGGCCGGGCGCGCCGGCUGGAGGGAGAGGUCGCGUGAGGUUGGCACUGGUGGCUGGCGCUGUGAUGGAUGGAUGAUGGUGUGGGUGGUGGAUGGCGCGGGUGAUGGUGGAGCAACGAGGUCGCGGAAGCGCGCCGCCAUGAUGGCCUGGCCGCGGCGGCGGCCGGAGGUGGGAGAAGAAGUGGUGAGGGGGAGAGAGAUGGAGAUGCCAGCUCCCUUUGGGAAUGGAGGCUGCUAGGGAUUUUGAUCCCCUCCGAUCAGAUCUGAAUGUUUUCACUUUGGCCCUCCUUCUUCCUUCUUUUGGCACAAGAUGAUCCCUCCACUUCUUAAGCUAGCCCCCCUAAGCUUUAAUCUUCUUCAAGCUUGAGUCCCUCUUUCUUCUCUUCUUGCCCGUGAUCUUGUUCCUCAAUUCUUUCUAGACAGGAACUUGUAGAUUAUAGUGCCUUGUCGCACUUUUCUGCAAAAGAAACACAAUGACUAGUAAAUGAUUCAUUAUAUGAUUUCCAUGCAAAUAUUCAAUAUUUCACAGCAAGAAUUGAUGGUCAUAUCUCAAUAAACCGCAUAUUUGAGUGCCAAAAGAUGUAUAUGAAAUGUGCUUAUCA